Molecule: long non-coding RNA, 64676 nt
Filed under: Gossypium barbadense (sea-island cotton)
Lineage: Eukaryota; Viridiplantae; Streptophyta; Magnoliopsida; Malvales; Malvaceae
Description: long non-coding RNA (GBAR_LNC018235)
Source: RNAcentral
UGUGACGACGUCCGAAAAGCCCCGUACAAACCUUAGAAAAUAGUUAGGAUACCUAUGUCAUGCCAUAGGAUUCCAAUAUAAGUUAUCGUGUAAGACCAUGUAUGGGACAUCGGCAUCAAUUUGAGAUUUACGUGUAAGACCAUGUCUGAAACAUCGGCAUCAUAUUUGAUUUCGUGUAAGACCCUAUUUGGGAGAGUGGCAGUGAUAUUUGAUUACAUGUAAGACCACGUCUGGGACGUUGGCAUUGUACCAGCUUUCGAGCUAUAUGAGUAUCCUUAUUUGAUUCCGAACGGUUCAACGGGCACUCCGAGAAAUGUAUGACUAUGUUAAAGUAUAUCUGAAUCAGGUACGUUUGAGAUGUGUUCAAUAUUUGAUCAUGAAAGGUAUGUAUAUGUGCCAUAGAAGAUAUGUGAAAUAUGAAUGAGAAAAAUGUGCCAUAUGUGCAAGUGAAAUGGGAUUAUAUGAAAUGUAUGUUAACUUCAAAGUUGGUGUAUGGAUUUGGCUAUGGAAUACAUGUGUGAUAUGAUGUAUAUUUGCUUUGAUAAUAAGUUUAUUUGUAUAUGGCUUACUAAGCUCCUGGAAGCUUACUUUGUGUGUGUGUGUGUUGCAUUGUUUUAUAGAUAUCGAAGCUACCGGGAGCUCGGGGAUCGUCGAGGAUCAUCACCACACUAUCGAACUCUAUUUUGUUACCUUUUGAAAAUGUGAAUAUGAAAGUAUGGCAUGUAUAGACUAGAUAAGUUAAGAUAUGUUUUUGAGUUGAAUGUAAUAUGCCAUAUGAUAUGGCUAGCUUAUGGUUCCAAAUAUGGUUUGGUUUUGGUAUUGAAUAUGUGAUGAGAAAAUGGUGUGUUUUGAUGUUCAUGAAUGACCAAAAGAAAUGGUCAAUUUGGUUUGUGCUUGGAUGAGAUUUUGGUAUGUUUUGGCUUGUGAAAGAAUGUGAUAACUUGGUAUAAUGAUCAUGUAUGAAUGAUGAUUUGUGAAAUGUUAGUAAAAUGUUCCGAUAAGUCCGGUAAUGCCUCUUAUCCCUAGUCCGGUGACGAAUACGGGUUAGGGGUGUUACAAUUCAUAUCAUCUGCUAUAUCAACAACACUCCACACUUAUUUAUUCUAGUCUCUCCCAAGGAAAUUGAACAUGAUGAAUCUUCCAAUCCAAUUCAAUCUAGAGUUCCAAUGCCACUAGCACAAAUUACAACAACAACAAAAAACAUGUUUUAACUUAAAUACUAGAUUAAGAAAGAUGAAACUUGCGAAAUACUUGUUAGAAAAGUAACUCACCUAAAUAAGAUGUUGGACGCAGAGCUAGUUUCUUCUUCCUCUGUUUCUUCGUACCUACCUCAUGAAAUUGUAUUGCCAGUCUCUCUCCACCUUUCUAACAAACCACCAUGGUCUUCCGGUUGUAAAUAUAAUAUAACCUAGGCUCAGUCCUAGCACCACUCCACUUCCAUAUCCCAUCAUUACAACUUGCCAAAAGAAGGGUAUUUCAAAACCUUCAUGUUCCACCACCAAUGGUGAAGGCGAUUCGGCCCCUCAUGGUUGACACAUUGUUUGGAUAGUGGUAAUCCACACAAUCCCAAGUUACCACUGUAGGAAUCAUUAUCAAAGGUAUCAAAUUGAUACCCAUGAGGAAUCGGUCCAACAAGAUUGUUAUUUGGAAGAUUCAAUACUUCAAGAAAUGUUAGAUUUGUCAUUUCAGAAGGAAUCCUGCCACUGAGCUUGUUUGAUGAAAGAUCCAAUGAUUCAAGUGCUACCAAAUUUCCAAACAAUGCCGGGAUAAGACCAAUGAAGUUGUGAGAGAAGUUGAGCAUUUGCAAAGAAAUAAGUUGCCCGACGUCCUCCUGAAUUUUUCCACAAAAUUGGUUGUUUGACAAGUCCAUAGAUGCAAAAAUGGGCAGAGUCUUUGUCAAUUCCAUAUCCAAUCUUUUCAUUGUUACAUUCACAUGAAUUUCAUAAAUAACAAAGCUUGCUGAGGAGUAUAACCACUCAUCUUUCAUUGCUAUUAAAUUUCGUAAGAGUUUCGUGGAUAAUGUGCCCUAAAUUUGAAAGUUUCAAUGAAGUACAAUUAGCCAAAGAUGGUGGCACUAAUCCUUCCAAUUGAUUGUCAUUGCGUGAAAGAUGACUCAAUUCACUCUUAUUCACAAAAGAAUUAGGGAUCUUGCCAAUUAAGUUGUUCAUUUGCAAAACCAAGAGCUGGAGAUAGUUGAAAUUUCCAAGACAAUCAGGAAUAGUUCCACAAAAGUUGUUUUUGGACAAGUCAAGAAUACUAAGUGAACUCAAUUUGCAAACGUACCUGAUUCGGCCACUCACAAAUUUAAUUACUUAGCUAUUAAGUCAAGCCUAAUCAGUAAGCUGAAGCACCAAUUAAAUCAUAAUAAUUAUCAUUACCAAUCAAGUUAUUGAGUUUAAGACCCAUACCUUAUUUUACGGUCUUUCACAGCACACUUGUAAAUCUCUAAUAAGCUUUAAAAUUAACCUAAAUUAAAAAUCAUUAUUAAAUUCAAUCAAUAUGCCUCUUAAACAACCCCAAACACCCACUUAUGGGUUCAAUCCAACCAUUACAAAUACAUCAAUUUUCAGAAUCCAAACUAGUUAGAUUUCUUACACUAAUUUGAGGCAAAUUGUAAGCGCGAACGUCUUUCGAAUUUACUGCUAAUUUGGGGCAUUGAAGUCGGCACCUAACACAUUUAAUUACUGAAAACUCAGUAGCUAAUCUAUGAUUAAAAAUUCCUUUUUUGAUCAAUUAACAAAUUUUCUCAAUAUCUAAUCUGAAACUAUUCACUAGUUUACAAUUACCCAUACUUAUGCUUCUCGAAUUGUUAGAUCUGAAGUAUCGAUUGAUCAAGAUCAAUUUUCCCUAAUUAACACAUGUUUCAAGGUUGAUUAGGAGGGGUUCAAGAACCCAAGAUCAUGCUGGAAAAAGAUGGGAAAGAAAUAAAGAAAAACAUCCCCCUUUCUUGCUGACAGGUGCGCGCACCACCACCUGUGAUGGCGGAAUUAGAGCUAAUUUAAAACCACUUUCAAGAUCAAUUAAAAAGAUGGAAAAUAUUCAUUAAAUCUUUAAAAAUCUCUCAAAUUUCAAAUUUAAAAGUUUGGGUUUUUAACUUACAAGAUUCAUCAAGAAAUUAAAGAAAACAAAGAACUUACACAAGUUAGGUGAAAUGAGUAGCAAUGGAGUUCUUUUGGGGCAUCAAUGGAGGUUGAUCUUGAGUGCUAAAAUUUCAGAUUUAAGGAUGAAAAUUUUAUAAUAAAAUGACAGCAAGAAGAAGAAAGUAACGGUGCACGAACCCGUUGCAAAAAGAAGAUAAAUUGAUGGUGAAUCUUGGUGGCUUGAGCGACGGCACACAAGGGCCGUUGCAAAAAGAAGAUAAAUUGAUGGUGAAUCUUGGUGGCUUGAGCGGCGGCACACAAGGGAAGAAAGAAAAGAGGAGAGGAAGAGGGUGAACGAUUAUGGUAGGGAAAAUUGACGAUUGACUUAGCUGAAAAAUACAAUAGAAAGUUGUAUUUAUACCUAGCUUUCAAGGUAUGGCUGGCACACACAUUAAUAAAAGAAGGAUUGGGAAAAGAUUUGUACUUGUGACCUUAAUCUAAUUUCCAUGUUUUUUCAUUUAUCCAUUAACUACUAGGCUAUUUUCUUAUUUUUGAAAUAUUUUUACAAUAUUUAUUUUAAAAACAAGGCGUAUCAUGUGCUAGGAUUUGAGGCAAAAUUUGUAAACUAAUAAAAAUGGUGCAAUAAAAGUGAUUUGAACUUGGGUUUCAAGUAACGUUUCAUUAACACUUAUCCAACAAAUCAAUACCUCAUUUAUUUUUUUUAAAAAUGCACAAAUAAUAUAAAAAAUUAGGGCAUAACCACACACUCUCUCAACUCACAAACCCGAUUCUACUAACCCCCAAUUUUUGGGGUGUUACAAACACUGGACCUAUUGGCCAAAAUGGUAUUCAUUUAUUCUUAGGUUUUGGAUUCGAUUCACAAGUUCACUAGUAGUGUAAUUUAUGUGGAUGUGAGAGUUACGAACUAAAAAAAUAGUAACAUAAACAUACCCAAUAUAAACUUUUUAUUUAUAUCUUUUCUUUUUUAUCAUAAGAUACAUAUCUAAUUGGUAAAUUUAAGUAAGCAUUAAGCAAGUUAUAUCAACCUAAGCAGAUGCAGUAUUUCCCUUGAGGGCCUGAAGCACAAGUUGCACUAAGGAAUUUCUCAUGCAAAAUCUUUUUACAUGCAGCAAUACAUUGAUCGAGAGUGCAUGGAUUGAGCUGGAUCCCGAAUGCACCUUCCGCAAGACUAGGACUCAAAACUAGCACCCCCAUUGCCAUUGCCAUGACAAUCAACACUAACUCAAACUUCACCCCUUUAGCCUCCAUUGGAAAUAUCUUCAAAGUUCAACAAACCCCCCUUUGUUGCUCCCUACAACAAAAAACAACAGAUCUGAUCACUUUAACAAUAACUGCAACUUAAUGUAUUAUCAAUUUGGGCCUACUAAUAAUAUUAUCAAAAUAAAGAGAACAAAUUAUGUUAAAUUUAAAAUAGGUAUAAGAGUUCCUUAAUGAUCCCCAAAAUAACAAUGGAGGGUCAUAUGAUAAACCAACAAAGUUGAAGAAAAGAGCACAAGAUUAGAGAUGAAAGGUAUGUGCACAUAUAUUAAUGGAGAUUCACAAUCUAUGAGCCAACCCCAUUUUGGUUUAUAAUAGUAUUGUGUGCUUUAACUAGGAAAGAGAUGUUAAAAUGUAAUAAAAUGAAAAUAAUGAGUAAAAAAAAUGAAUUACUAUUAUUACCUUGCUAUUCUUCGAUGUAAAGCUUUGUUCACUGAUGUUUUUUGUUUGAAUAUGUGGAUGGUAUUUAUAGGUGUGAAUGGUAUACCUGAAAGGGUCAAAUCUAAUUUAAAAAUAUAUAUUACCAUAUAUGAUCAAUAUAUGUUACCAUAUAUCCAUAUCUUGCAUAUUUAUGGGUCGUAACUGUAGAAUUAUAAAUAAAUAUUAUACCAAAUAUAACUUAUUUAACAUUUGAUAAAAUCACUGUUUUAUUUUGUAAAAAAUUUUAAUAAUGUUUAAAACUUCGAAAAGAAAUAUAUUCAAAUAUUGAAUUUUUAAUAAGUAAAUAUUAAUUUUAAUAUUGCUGUUAUAAAAUUUUGAUUUCAAUAAGCAAAUAUUGUAAAUUUUUUAUUACGGUUAAAACUUAUGUAUUCAAUAAAAGUUUCAAAAAAUUAUUAUUUAGGAAUUUAAAAUUGUUACUUAAAAGGAUUUCAAAAGAGUUUUAUGGAUAUAUGCCAGUGAAUUCAUUUUUAGAGAGAUUAAUUAUUCGCAAUGCAAAAAAAUUAGAUGAAAUUAUGGAAUGAGGUAAUAAUCUAUAAAAUCUAUUAAAUCUUAGUAUAAGAACUUGCAGACUUGGAAGCGAAGCUAACCAACGAGGAAACCUAUCCGUUUACUUGUUGUUAACUAAAUUUAAAAGUUUAAAUGAAGUACAAUUAGCCAUAGAUGGCUGAACUAAUCCUUCCAAUUGAUUGUCAUUGAAUACAAGAUGGGUCAAUUGAUUAUUCACAAAAGAAUUAGGGAUCUUGCCAAUGAAGUUAUUCAUUUGCAAAUCAAAGAGCUGGAGAUGGUUGAGAUUUCCAAGACAAUCAGGAAUAAUCCUACUCAAGUUGUUUUCGGACAAGUCCAGAACACCAAGUGAGCUCAAAUUGCGAAUAGAAGAAGGGGUGUUUCCUAUCAAUUUAUUCUUUGAAAUGAUAGAACACUUCCAACUCCUUUAACAUACAUACAUACAUAACACAUGAAUGGUUAGCAUGCAUACCUAAACAUAUCUUACAGAUCAUAAAAUAUCAUAUUGCUUAUACUAAUAGUUAUUCUACAUACAGAUGUCAUGCAUGUUUUACACGAAAUUAAGCUCUCAAAGUUAUCAAAACACAUCAUACAUACAUUUUUCACCAACCUUUUCACCUACCUUAAUCAUAUCACAUACUGACAUGUAUUGACAAAUGUCACAUUUCGAGUCUUAUUUAAGCCAAACAGACCCCACACAAUGUUUAAUUACGAAAACGGGCCUAAGUGAAAAUUUUCGAAAAAUGGGCCCACGCAGUCUAAAUGGCCAGCCCGUGUGGCCCACACAAACUACCAGAACUACCCAUGUGAUCACACACGCCCGUGUGCCCCAUACGGCCUGCCCGAAUUGCCCGUGUAAUCACACAUGCCCGUGUGCUCCACACAAACUGACACACGAUCAAACACGCGUUCAUGUGGUGCACACGGCCUGACACACGGCCAACCAUAUGGUUGUGUGAUGUAGAGUAGUUUCGAAAACAUCCUUUGUUUUCGAGGUUUUUUUUCGAUUUCUAGUCAAGUUUGAGUUUGAAUCACACACCUGAUGAAAGUUUUGAUAAACCACACAAUAGUGCACUCCAAACCUUACACACCAAAACGAAUCAAUUAACAAACACAAAUUAACCCAACUUUCACCACUUUUCUUAAAAGAAAAUAGUCCCUAAAUACACACAUGAGCACUUACUUCACAAGAGCAGUGUCAAAACAACGACCUUCAAUAGUAACUAAGUCGUCGGAGAAAUGUUAGUCUCCAAAUUUCCACCUAACCAUUCGUAUAGUAAUUCAUUAAAACUUCAAACCAAAUCAAACCAAUUACCAAGACCCAAUAUGUGAGCAAAAUCACAGAAAUUAAAGAAAAAGGAAUUACUAACACCAGAUUUCCUCUUACCAAUUGGCUAAACACCUACCUGCUAAGAAAAUUGGCACAACAGAAUGGCAACAGUCACGACAGAAGAAAGGAAAACCAGACAAAAAUUGAACCAACAAGGAAACAAAAUUUGAGAAACAAAUAGAAGAAUGAUUAACAAAUUGAGAGAAAAAAGAAAAUGACAUGAGGGAAAGUGAGGAGUGAAACGUGAGAGAGAUUUUUGGGUUAAUUCAAAACUACCCACGUCCCACUAACUAUCCACCUAUCAUAUUUCCUCAAAACUUAAAACAAAAACAAUUUUCACUUUGCACACACAAAGACUCAACAUAAGACUAAAUGGUAAGCUAAAACCCAACCACUAAACUAACAAGCUUAUUCUUAUCAACAAUUGAAUGAAAAUAAUUUAUAAAUAAGAUGUUCAAAGAUAGGGGUUUAAACAAAAAUAGCAAAAAUUCAAGGGAAAAGAUUCAAACUCAAAAUUUUACACUCACAAGCAACACACUUAAACACCAAACCAAAUUAAUUUACUAUAAAAAAAUUUCACAAUCUUAACUCAAAAUCAAAGAUGUAACCACUCUUGAUUUCACUAACCAAAUUUCUUCCAACUCAAUUGUAGUGAUUUAUUGUGCUAUUAAAUUACGAUAGAGGGAUAUUCUGGCUAGGAAAGACCUGGUACUUAAGCGAUCCUCGUGAUCCACCUCUCUUUCCUGGGAAUUGAACUUAGUGUGAUUUUUUAGUACAAUAAUUUUACUCUUUUACACGCUUCCGCGCAACAAUUGGUAUCAGAGCUAGAUUCGUACUUGGGGAAUACGACUGUUUACGAUACUAUUUACGUAUACGGUAUUGUUCAUCCACGAUACUAUUCACGUAGACGGUACUGUUCACAUAUACAGUAGUUGGGAUCAAGGAGAAGAAUGGCAGAGGCAUCGUCAUCAACAAAGACUACCGUGACCAAUGCAAAAUUUGAAGUAGAGAAAUUUGAUGGUACCAAUAAUUUUGGUAUGUGGCAAUGUGAGACCUUGGAUGUCUUAUGUCAGCAAGAGCUGGAUAUAGCUCUUGAAGAAAAACCUGACAAGAUGGAUGACAAAGAGUGGGCCAAGAUCAAUAGACAAGCGUGUAGUACAAUCCGCCUAUGUUUGGCCAAAGAGCAAAAGUACUCUGUCAUGAGGGAGACAUCAGCGAAGAAGUCGUGGGAUACACUGGAAGAAAAGUUUCUAACGAAAAGUCUUGAAAAUAGGCUUUAUAUGAAAAAGAAACUUUUUCGGUUCACGUAUGCACCCGGUAUGUCGAUGAAUGACCAUGUGAACUCAUUCAAUAAAAUUUUAGCAGACUUGCUAAAUUUGGAUGAGAAGUUUGAAGAUAAAGACAAGGCAUUAUUGUUGUUGAAUUCUCUUCCCGAUGAAUAUGAUCAUCUUACCACCACAUUGCUUCAUGGGAAGGAUACGAUCACAUUUGAUGCAGUCUGCAGUGCGUUGUACAGAUCUGAGACUCGAAAGAAAGAUAAAAGAGAUCACAGAGAUACAACUGCAGAAGUCUUAGCAGUAAGAGGUCGUUCACACAGCAACAAACCUGGUAGAAGGGGCAAGUCCAAAGGGAGACCCGCCAAAGAUGAAUGUGCUUUUUGUCGUGAGAAAGGGCACUGGAAAAAGAAUUGUCCUAAGUUACAAAAGGGCAAGGCUAUUUCUAAUGCAUGUGUAGCGGAGCAUGAUGAGGAGUCAGACUUUAGCUUGGUUGGGAUGGCAAUGACAUGUCAUACGGAUGAGUGGAUCUUGGAUUCGGGAUGUACUUACCAUAUGUGUCCUAAUAAGGACUGGUUUUCUAGUCUUGAAGAACUAGAAGGUGGAGUUGUUUUUAUGGGCAAUGACAGUGCUUGUAAGACAAUGGGAGUAGGUACAAUCAAAUUGAAGAAUCACGAUGGCUCAAUCCAAGUCUUGACAGAUGUUUGCUAUGUUCCUAGCUUGAAGAAAAAUCUCAUCUCAUUAGGGGCCCUAGAAUCUAAAGGGCUCACAGUCACUUUGAGAGAUGGAUUACUAAAGGUAGUAGCUGGGGUAUUGACGGUGAUGAAAGGCACUAGAAGAAAUAACUUAUACUAUUUAAAUAGAAGUACAGUUAUUGGAUCAACAUCAACAACUUCUGCGAAAGAUGCAGAUUCAGAGGCUACCAGGUUAUGGCAUAGGCGAUUGGGACAUGCUGGUGAAAAAGCUUUGCAGACUUUGGCGAAGCAAUGCUUGUUGAAAGGUGCAAAUUCUUGCAAAUUGGAAUUCUGUGAACAUUGUGUUCUGGGCAAGCAGACGAGGGUAAAAUUUGGUUCAGCAAUUCACAAUACGAAAGGAAUUCUGGACUACGUUCACAGUGACGUGUGGGGACCUACCAAAGUGGCUUCUUUGGGAGGUAUGCACUAUUUUGUUACUUUUGUUUAUGAUUAUUCAAGAAAAGUAUGGGUGUAUCUAAUGAAAAGAAAAAGUGAAGUUUUGGAUGCAUUUCUAAAGUGGAAGAAGAUGGUGGAGACUCAGACUGGUCGAAAGGUCAAACGACUUCGAUCAGAUAAUGGUACUGAGUACAAAAAUGAUCCAUUUCUACAAGUAUGUCAAGAUGAGGGCAUUGUGUGACACUUCACUGUUCGAGAUACACCACAGCAGAAUGGGGUGGCAGAACGUAUGAAUCGGACUAUACUGGAGAAAGUUCGACGUAUGUUGUCCAAUGCUGGAUUGGGCAAGGAAUUUUGGGCUGAGGCAGUUACAUAUGCGUGCCAUCUAAUCAACCGGUUGCCAUCAGCUGCAAUAAAGGGAAAAACUCCUAUAGAGAUGUGGACUGGUAAACCUGCUACUGAUUAUGAUUCUUUACAUGUUUUUGGUUCCACUGCAUAUUAUCAUGUAAAAGAAUCUAAGUUAGACCCAAGAGCAAAGAAAGCAUUAUUCAUGGGUAUAACGGGUGGAGUAAAAGGAUACCGUCUCUGGUGUCCUGAUACAAGGAAGAUUGUUUUCAGUAGAGAUGUGACUUUUGAUGAAUCAACCAUGAUGAAGAACAAAGAUUCACAAAAGGAUGACAAAACCAGUGGCGCUUUGCAGCAGGUGGAGCUUGAAAAGGUUAAUGAUGAUCCAGCUAAUACUGAAGGAACAAAUGAUGGAGAAGUUUCGACCCAAGAACUUCCACAGCAACAAGAUUCAAUUGCAUAUAGGAGGCCAAGAAGAGAGAUUCGUAAGCCUGCUCGCUUUGAUGAUAUAGUGGCCUAUGCACUUCCAAUUGCAGAUGAUGAUGUUCCUUCUACUUACACAGAAGCAAUAAGUAACCCUGAUGGUGUAAAGUGGAAGCAAGCUAUGAAUGAAGAAAUGCAGUCUCUUCAUAAAAAUAGGACUUGGGAGUUGGUGACACUGCCUAAGGGAAAGAAGGCAAUUGGAUGCAAAUGGGUAUAUGCAAAGAAUGAAGGAUUUCCUGGUAUUCGAUACAAGGCUAGAUUGGUAGCAAAGGGUUACACUCAGAAAGAAGGAAUAGACUACAAUGAAGUGUUUUCUCCAGUUGUGAAGCAUUCGUCUAUUCGAAUUUUGCUAGCCUUGGUUGCGCAAUAUGACCUUGAACUAGGUCAGCUUGAUGUGAAGACGACUUUUUUACACGGUGAUUUGGAAGAGGAAAUCUAUAUGACUCAGCCUGAUGGAUUCAAGGUUGCUGAUAAAGAAAAUUGGGUUUGCAAACUGACGAAGUCGCUUUAUGGAUUGAAACAAUCUCCGAGGCAGUGGUACAAGCGAUUUGAUCAGUUCAUGAAAGGGCAAAGGUACACAAGAAGUAAAUUUGAUCAUUGCGUGUAUUUUCAGAAGCUACAAGUAGGAACUUUCAUAUACUUGCUCUUAUAUGUUGAUGAUAUGCUAAUAGCAUCUAAGAGCAAAGUUGAGAUUGAGAAAUUGAAGACUCAACUCAAUCUUGAAUUUGAGAUGAAAGAUCUGGGUGAAGCUAAGAAGAUUCUUGGCAUGGAAAUAUGUAGAGAUAGAGCUCAUGGCAGAGUUAGUUUGUCUCAGAAGCAGUAUUUGAAGAAAGUACUACAGCAGUUUGGCAUGAACGAGCAGACAAAACCUGUAAGUACUCCGUUGGCUUCUCAUUUCAAGCUUUCUGCACAACUAUCUCCUUCGACGAAUGCGGAACGAGAAUACAUGUUACAAGUUCCAUAUUCUAAUGCAGUGGUAGCUUGAUGUAUGCAAUGGUGUGUACAAGACCCGACAUUUCACAGGCAGUUAGUAUAGUGAGCAGGUAUAUGCAUAAUCCUGGAAAGGACAUUGGCAAGCUGUGAAAUGGAUUCUACGGUAUAUUCUGAAGACCGUGGAUGUUGGAAUACUGUUCAAGAAGGAUACUACACUUGGUAAAGGUGUUAUUGGGUACGUUGAUUCUGACUAUGCCGGUGAUUUGGACAAACGAAGAUCAACCACCGGUUAUAUGUUUACACUUGCUGGAGGACCAAUAAGUUGGAAGUCUACACUGCAGUCUACAGUUGCGUUGUCAACCACAGAAGCCGAAUACAUGGCUGUAACAGAGGCUGUAAAUGAAGCUAUUUGGUUACAAGGUAUGGUUAAAACCUUGGGAUUGGUUCAAGAGCAUAUUGACGUGUAUUGUGAUAGUCAAAGUGCUAUUCAUUUAGCAAAGAAUCAAGUCUAUCAUGCACGUACAAAGCAUAUCGACGUACGAUUCCAUUUUGUGCGGGAAAUUAUUGAUGAGGGGAAAAUUCGUCUUCAGAAGAUCAAGACUGCAGAUAAUCUCGCAGAUAUGAUGACCAAGGAGUAACAACAAUCAAGUUCGAAUGUUGUUUGAACUUGAUCAAUAUUCUGCAAGUUUAACAGUUGAAGAAGGCACUAUCAAGUAUUGUUGUCAAAGGCAGAAAGAAUUGUGUGAAGAUAAGAUUAUCCUAAUCAAAUCUUCAAGGUGGAGAUUAUUAGCAACCAUCUUUGACUUUUCAAAGAUGAAUGGUGUCAGAAAAUUGGGUACCGAAAAUCUAAGCAUUUAAGGCAUAGAUUUUUGGGUUGAAAUUUGGCUUGGGAUAAUUGCAAUUUUGGUCCUUAAUUGAAUAGGAACUUUGCAAGUUGAUCCUUGAGUUUCAACUAUAAAUAGGCCUAGCUAUUUCUCAUUUUCUACAUCCCACAAAUGCCAUUCUCUACUUAAGGCAUUAUUCUCUCUCCUUAUUUGUAAAAUUUCACUUGUAUUUUGGAGUGAAAUAUAUUUGGUAGUGCCCGAGGACGUAGGCAAAAUUUGCUGAACCUCAUUAAAAUUCUAGUGUUCUUUAUUGUUUAUUUUGCAUAUUUUGCGAGUGUGAUUGUAGUGAUUUAUUGUGCUAUUAAAUUACGAUAGAGGGAUAUUCUGGCUAGGAAAGACCUGGUACUUAAGCGAUCCUCGUGAUCCACCUCUCUUUCCUGGGAAUUGAACUUAGUGUGAUUUUUUAGUACAAUAAUUUUACUCUUUUACACGCUUCCGCGCAACAUCAAUUUUUCAGGUUGUGACAAUUAUAGAAAAUAAGGAGUCCAAAAAUCAUAGAUCAACAUUUAACUACCUAUAUCAUAUAUCAAGCACAUAAAUUAUAUCAAUAAAAACACUGGGCAUAUUGGCCAAAAUGGUGUUAAUUUAUUCUUAGGUUUUGGGUUGGAUUCGCAGGUUCACUAGUAGUGUAAUUUACGUGGACGUGUGAGUUAUGAGUUAAAAAAAAAAGUAAUACAAACAUAGCGAAUAUAAACAUUUUAUUUAUAUCUCUUUUUUUUUUAUCAUAAGUACAUAUCCAAUUGGCAAAUUUAAGUAAGCAUUAAGCAAGUUAUAUCAACCUAAGCAGAUGCAGUAUUUCCCUUGAGGGCCUGAAGCACAAGUUGCACUAAGGAAUUUCUCAUGCAAAAUCUUUUUACAUGCAGCAAUACAUUGAUCGAGAGUGCAUGGAUUGAGCUGGAUCCCGAAUGCACCUUCCGCAAGACUAGGACUCAAAACUAGCACCCCCAUUGCCAUUGCCAUGACAAUCAACACUAACUCAAACUUCACCCCUUUAGCCUCCAUUGGAAAUAUCUUCAAAGUUCAACAAACCCCCCUUUGUUGCUCCCUACAACAAAAAACAACAGAUCUGAUCACUUUAACAAUAACUACAACUUAAUGUAUUAUCAAUUUGGGCCUACUAAUAAUAUUAUUAAAAUAAAGAGAACAAUUAUGUUAAAUUUAAAAUAGGUAUAAGAGUUCCUUAAUGAUCCCCAAAAUAACAAUGGAGGGUCAUAUGAUAAACCAACAAAGUUGAAGAAAAGAGCACAAGAUUAGAGAUGAAAGGUAUAUGCACAUAUAUUAAUGGAGAUUCACAAUCUAUGAGCCAACCCCAUUUUGGUUUAUAAUAGUAUUGUGUGCUUUAACUAGGAAAGAGAUGUUAAAAUGUAAUAAAAUGAAAAUAAUGAGUAAAAAAAAUGAAUUACUAUUAUUACCUUGCUAUUCUUCGAUGUAAAGCUUUGUUCACUGAUGUUUUUUGUUUGAAUAUGUGGAUGGUAUUUAUAGGUGUGAAUGGUAUACCUGAAAGGGUCAAAUCUAAUUUAAAAAUAUAUAUUACCAUAUAUGAUCAAUAUAUGUUACCAUAUAUCCAUAUCUUGCAUAUUUAUGGGUCGUAACUGUAGAAUUAUAAAUAAAUAUUAUACCAAAUAUAACUUAUUUAACAUUUGAUAAAAUCACUGUUUAAUAUUGUAAAAAUUUUUAAUAAUGUUUAAAACUUCGAAAAGAAAUAUAUUCAAAUAUUGAAUUUUUAAUAAGUAAAUAUUAAUUUAAAUAUUGCUGUUAUAAAAUUUUGAUUUCAAUAAGUAAACAUUGUAAAUUUUUUAAUUACGGUUAAAACUUAAAAGUUUCAAAAAAUUAUUAUUUAGGAAUUUAAAAUUGUUACUUAAAAGGAUUUCAAAAGAGUUUUAUGGAUAUAUACCCGUGAAUCAUUUUCAGAGAGAUCAAUUAUUCGCAAUGUAAAAAAAAUUAAAUGAAAUUACGGAAUGAGGUAAUAAUCUAUAAAAUCUAUUAAAUCUCAGUAUAAGAACUUGCAGACUUGGAAGCGAAGCUAACCAACAAGGAAACCUAUCCGUUUAGGUGUUGUUACCUAAAUUUAAAAGUUUAAAUGAAGUACAAUUAGCCAUAGAUGGCUGUACUAAUCCGUCCAAUUGAUUGUCAUUGAAUACAAGAUGGGCCAAUUCAUUAUUCACAAAAGAAUUAGGGAUCUUGCCAAUGAAGUUAUUCAUUUGCAAAUCUAAGAGCUGGAGAUGGUUGAGAUUUCCAAGACAAUCAGGAAUAAUCCCACUCAAGUUGAUUUCGGACAAGUCCAGAACACCAAGUGAACUCAAAUUGCAAAUAGAAGAAGGGGUGUUUCCUAUCAAUUUAUUCUUUGAAAUGAUGAGCACUUCCAACUCCUUUAAAAUUGGAAUUUGAGGAUUCAAGCAAGUUGAAAGAAUUGGUCCUUGAAGCAAGUUGGAAUGAAGGUUGAGAUAAUCCAAAUUGUUUCCUGGAUAUUGCUCCAAAGUAGUCAAAAAGUUAUGAGAAAGGUCCAAGUAUUGCAAUCCUUCCCACCCUUCAGCUUCCCAUCUGGAUAUUCCCCCAGAAAUCAUGUUAUUUGAGAGAUCUAAAACCUCCAACUGCGAUGAUUGAAAGAAAUUCGGGAACUGCCCUACGCUACAACCAGAGAAUCUCACAGCCGGGGGAAAGAAUAGUUCACAUCAUUGCCGCUUGUGCUUAAUGAUAAUAAACUAUUACUUGAAACAUCAAGAACUUCAAGACUCGUGAGUUUUGAAAGCAAAUCUGACUUGAUCACACCACUCAAGUUAUUUGGUGACAAAUCAAGAUAACUAAGGUACACAAGAUCAAAAAUGGAAUAUGUUAUUGGACCACUCAAGUUGUUUGAUGACAAAUCAAGUGAAGUAAGGUUCACAAGAUCAAAAAUGGAACACGGUAUCGAACCACCAAUGUUAUUAUAACUCAAUUUAACAUCUUGGAUGGAACUAGGCUGCUGAAUUCGAUCAAUGGGACCAACUAGUUUGUUAUAACUGAGGUCCAAGAGUGGAAGAGAUGGCAGAGAAAACAGCCAAGAUGGUACUCCACCACUUAUAGAGUUUUUAUAUAACUCAAGUACCUCUAGAAAUUGAAGCUCACUAACAUGAUUUGGAAAGGGGCCUUCCAAGUGAUUAUUUGACAAAUCCAAAUGGGCAAUUUUUGUGAGGUUUAAGAUAGUUAUCGGAAGUGGACCUGGACCACUCAAAUUGCAUGAAGAAAAGUUCAAAUAAGUUAAUUUUCUAAGGUUUCCAAAAACAUCUGGAAUCUGUCCUCUAAACGAAUUUCCAUGUAAACCAACGGAAAUGAUUUGACUGAGAUUUCCUAAUGAUGCUGGAAUUGACCCCUAAAACCACAUUUGGAAAGGUCCAACAACUCAAGGUCACUACUCUAGUUUGUGUUAGGGAGAUAACCUGCUGUGAGAUUUUCAUCCUCACUUAAAUCUAAAACUUUGAGGUUUGGAAGCUGAGAAACUUGAGUUGGAAAUUCCCCUUGUAAUUGAGAAUAUGAGAGACUUAAAUGUUCAAGUGAUGAAGACAAGUUUAGAAAGGAAGUAAGUGCAACAUCAGACAUAUCUACACCAUUAAGUGCAAGGUUUCUUAAUUUGGUCAAGUUUGUUGCAAGCGUGUCAAAACCUUGGCCAUCAAAUCUUGAGAUUAAGUCAAAGAGCCCAUUAAAAGAGAGAUCAAGAUGGGUUAAACUCACCGACUGGAUAAAAAACUUCGAUGAGAUGGUGCCAUUGAAAUCAUUAUCAGCAAGGUUGAGUCGUUGGAGUCCAUUAACGUGAAACAAGUUGCUAGCGUUCUCUAGAAGAGAGCCUCUAAGGUUGUUGGAACUCAAGUCAAGCCAUUGGAGGUUUUUGAAGUUGAAAGAGGCUGUUGUUUGCAAAGAGAGAACCAACAACGCAACUCUGACUAAGACCGAAGCCGAUUACAUGACCAGUCACGUUGUUGCAUUUCACUCUCUCCCAUGUGUUGGAACAUUUGGCAGCAGCAACCAAACAAUGAAACACUAAGAGCAUAAGCUCUUCAAACAGCAAGCAGAAACACAAAGCAUCAAGAGCAUAAGCUCUCGGUUAACAGGAAGAAAAAAGAAAAAGAAAGAACAAUGGCAGCAGCUCUUAGAAAAAGAACAAAACAGAGAACAAAGGAGGAAGAAACAAAAACAAUUUACUUGCUCACAAACGUGCAGCAAGGAAGCAAUCUGCCUUACAACUGAUAUGCUUAAUUUUUCAAUAAGAAAAACAAUACAUUUAUAGCCAACUACAUCAGUUAUUACUACCUAAUACCACUAAGUAGCCUAGUAACUUUAAAAACAUUGCUUGUACACAUGGAUAAGCUGACUUAUCAGCUCAACCAACCCAUCAAAACAUCAACAUCAAAGUUCAUUCUCAACCAAACUAAAUUAAAUUGCAACUAAAACAGAAAAUAUGUUGCUGCAACAUGCACAAAUGCUGCAACAUGCAUACAAGCAGUAUGCAUUCAACAGAAUCAUCAUAGUACCAUGCAUUUUAACAAAACAUAAUAGCAGCAUGGUUGGCCAUUUUCAACACCAUGAACAACAAUCAAUGCUUUUGUUCAUAUAAUUUGUUUGAAAUAUAAUGUUUAAAUAUUAGUUAUAAAUAUUUUUUUUUUGGAAAGAAAAGAAAUAGAAUAAACACAAUAUUUCACUAUUUUUGAAAUAUUGAUGGUUAAAUUGACCUUUUAAAAAGGUUGAGGAUUAAAUUUAACUCAAAAGAAAAAAUAAAGAUCAAAUUGACAAAAAAAUAAAAAGAUUGAAGGCUAAAUUUGAUAUUAUACCUAAUUUCCCUCUACUUGUCUUGUUUAAAAAUUAAAUUCCUUUUAAUAAUACUAUUAAUUUAUUUAUGUUAAAUUUAAUAUGUGUUAUAAAUUAAAUUUUUAUUUUUAAAUCAGGUUUUUUAAUACUAAAAUACCACAUAUUCAAAUGUGACGAAAAUUCAUUAAUAGUGUUAUCAAUUAGACUUUGAUUUCCAAAUAAAGAGACUAAAUUUUAAAAUUUGAAAGAAUAAAGGUAGGGACCAAGGGUUAAUUAAACCAAAAUUUUCGUAUUAGAAAUUAGACAUAAUGAUAAAUUUAGCUCUUAACAUUUACAUUUUUUUGUCAAUUUGAUCCUUAUUUUUUUUAGUUAAAUUUGACCAUUAAUCUUUCAAAAAAGUGUCAAAUCACUUUUCUUUAAUGAAAUUACUGACUGAGCAAUAAUUUUUUAAUAAAGUUAGCACGACAAUACACAUACAAUUAAUGCCGACAUGAUAUUAUUUGUCUUAUAUGUUAUACCAACAUAUAAUUUUAAAAAAUAAAGAUAAAAAAUUUUAAAUUCUAAAAUUAUUAUAAAAAGUUCAUAAAUUUUCAGAAAUAUUAGCAUAAAAAGCAUACAUGAAUUGACAUGAUGACUCCUAUGUUUAAAAAUGUAACAUUUUAGUCCGUAUUUCCACUAAAAAAUCGAUCUAACUCUUUUUCAAAAGAUUGAGGUUCAAUUUGACUCCUAUUAAAAUGUCGAAAGAUAAAUUUAACUCAAAAAAUAAUAAUAAUCAAAUUGACAAAAAAUAUAAACAUCCAAAAAUUAAAUUUAACAAUCAUGUGAUGGGAUAUGGAUGGAAUUAUGAUAAUUAUUUCCAGGAUGGUAGGCCUAGAAGACUAGACUGGUCAAAGUCUUUGAAAGUUGAGUGACUCAUUGGGAUUUGGUUAAGUGGAAUUUAAGGCUUUGAAUUUGGGUUUAGAUGUUUUGAAAUUAAAGGUGAUUACAUAUAUUUUUGGAAGCAAAAUUUUCUUUCAACACUUUCUUUAUAAAAUUUGAUUAUAUCUGUUUUUUCUUUUCAUAGUACUUAUAAUUACUUAAGGUCUUCUUCAAUCCAUAAAUAGGAGGAUAAUGUGUUUCAGCGCACUCGAACCCACAUCUUUAUACGUUGAUAACAAUAAUCAUACCAAUCGAGUUAAGACUAAAUUGCUCCAAAGUGAUAAAAAAAAAAGUUAUGAGAGAGGGUCUACUACUCGUGCCAGUUAAUUUAAGGUUAGAUUUUACUAGUGCUAUUAGCUGGAUUUGCAACAACAAUGCUAGUCAAUGCUCUGAAAAAGUAUGAAUGUUUAAUAAAAAUGGAUGGUAUUUCAACUAUGAAAUUCAUCGAUGCUCUUAAGUUGAUGAUACACGUAAUAAAAAUUGAAGUUUUAUGUAAGUUGAUGGUACGAGUUCAAAUAGUUUAUUGGUCGGACGUUCACUUUCUUCAAGGAUAAUCUGUGUUCGAAUCACAAAUAUAUCAAAACAAAUAAACAAACAAAACAUUGCAGAAGACAAAAUAGAGAAUCCAGUCUUUUCCCUGUCUAUUGGAAAUUUGAUUUCAAGUCUCUCUCCCAUUCACAGAAGCUGCAACAAAUAAGCUGAACUCCUACUUUUUGUUUUGAGACCUUGACUUCCAUAUUUUCUUCACUUCCCAUAAUUUCAUUCUUUACUUAUUUACGUUAUUAAUAAUAAGUUAAUAUAGUUUCAUUCAAUCGAUAGCUUUCCAUAAUUUAAAAAAAUCAUAUUGUCAAUAGUAAGAACACCAUAAUUUUUUUACUCAUCUCAUAUGCCAUACAUGCAAAGCAAUAAUAACAACUAGAAUUUGGCUUCAGAAUUCAGAUAACAGGAAGUUGACAGUUAAACAUCAUAUUGGCUUACACUUAUGCAAUACUUAAACAUAAUUACACUAAAACCUGAAAAUACAAAUUUAGAAAUUAUGAUGAAGACAAAUGCACUCUUAUGAUCUGUGAGUUAAUUUGAAGUUAGAUUUUACUAUUGUUAUUAGUUGGAUUUGCAGCAAGAACCCUCAUUUAUGCAGCCAAAAAGUUUUCUUAGGAUAAAUAAGUAUGGUGAUGUGAUUAAAAUUAUUGCUUUCAUUAUAUCGUCUUCAAAAUUAUUGAGGCAGUCAAUUUUAUAUCAAUAUUCAAAAUUAUGAAUGUUGAAGGAAAGUAGUGUGUAUAUAGUAUUUUCCUUUACCUUCCAAUGAACAAUCCAAUAAUUAAAGUUAUAUAGUGGAUGUCAAGUGUUUGAUCAUAUUUAUGAUUAAUGGGACCAGAAUAACGUAUAACCAAAAUCAAAUUGUUUUUUCAUACGUAAAAAAAGAAAAACCAUAAUUAGCUUUCUCUUUAGAGGCAGCAAUGGUAGUGGUGCCGAAGUGGAAGAGGAAGGUAAAUUUUGAGUAUCAAAUUGAGACCAUUUGUAAAUUUUGAGGGUUAAUUUUUUAAAAAGUAUAACUAAAUCAAUAUAUGUCAAAAUUUAGGGCUAAAUUUAUUAUUUUACUGAAAUGAAAUUUUAAUUUUUAAUAGUUUAAAUCUUUAUAAUUUUUAAAGGAUUAAAUUCAAUUUUUAUAAUUAAUUUGAAAUUUUAAACUUUUCUAAAGAGCCAAAAUAAUAAUUUUCCAGACCGAGUCUUUGCAAUGCCCCUAAAUUCUCCUUUGGACUGCUCCACUAAAGUGAACACAUCAUUUUAAAGUUAACCGAGUUUUAAUUGCUCCACUAAAGUCCAUCCCAUUUUAGACUUUAGUACUACUUUACUCUUCUUCUUCUUCUUUUUCUUUCUUUGGAAAAAGAAAGAAAGAAAGAAGGAAAGAAUAGUGAACACGUUGUUUUCAAGUCAACCAAGUCUUAAUUAUAUCCCAAUUUCAUUGUCCAUACUUUAUAUUUAUUAUGAAACUAUUCUCCGAAAUAAAGUGCGUAAAAGUAUAUUUGUGAAUUUGGAAUUCAAGGAUUCAAGCAAGUUGGAAUGAAGGUGGAAAAUUCUCCAACUAUUUUCUUCAAAUUGCUCUAAAAUUAUCAGAAACUUACGAGAACUCAACAUCCUUUGGCCUUCCAUUUGAAAAUAUGAGUAAAUUUGUCAUUAAACUCUUAUGCGAUUACAUUUUACUAUUAAAUUUUGAAUUUUACUAAAUUUUAUUAUUAUUUUAAUUUUUUAAUUAAAUUUUACCGUUCAAUAUCAAUUUUAAGAAUUUGAAAACAUAGUUUAAUAAGAUUUUUUUUCAAAUAUUUUAUUUUAAUAAUUAACAAUAAUUUAACUUAUAAAUAUUAAGAAUAAGAAUUGAAAGUAGAACAACAACAAAUCAAAUGUUUCACUAAAUCUAACAAAUUUACUACUUCAAUCUUAUAAUUUAAGAAAAAUCAUAUUUAAACUCCUUCAUAACAAUUAGAAUUUGGCAUUGGAAUUCAUACAACAAGAAUUUGACACUUACAGUAAUAUUUGUUUAAUAGUUUAAGUUUAUGCAAUACUUAAAACAUUACUACACAACACCCACGAAUACAAAUUUAGAAAUUAUAAUGAAUACAAAUACACUCAUAUCAUUUGCUAAAUUAACAAUCCCACUGAUUUAUUUUAAUCCCUCUCAAGGAAGCUGAACAUGAUGAAUUUUCCCAUCCAAUUCAAUCCCAGAUUUCCAAUGCCACUAUCACAAAUUACAAAACAGAAAAAGAGAACAUGUUUUAACUCAAAUAUUAGAUUAAGAAAGAUGAAACUUAUGAAAUACUUGUUAGAAAAGAAACUCACCUAAGCAAGAUGUUGGAUGCAGAGCUAGUUUCUUCUUCCUCUCUUUCUUCGUACCCACCUUGUGAAAUUGUAUUGCCAAUCUCUCUCCACCAUUCUAACAAACCACCAUGGUCUUCCGGUUGUGACUACAAUGUAACCCAAGCUCAAUCCUAUCACUACUCCACUUCCAUACCCCAUCAUUACAACUUGCCAAAAGAAGGGUAUUUUAGAACCAUCAUGUUCCACCACCAAUGGUGAAGGAGGUUCUCCCCCCUCAUGGUUGAUACAUUGCUUGGACAAUGGCAAUCCACACAAUCCCAAGUUAUUGCUAUAGGAAUCAUUAUCAAAGGUAUAAAAUUGAUUCCCAUGAGGAAUUGGUCCAACAAGAUUGUUUUCCGAAAGAUUCAACACUUCAAGAAAUGUCAGAUUUGUCAUUUCAGAAGGAAUGCUACCGCCAAGCUUGUUUGAUGAAAGGUCUAAUGAUUCAAGUGCUACCAAAUUUCCAAACGAUGCUGGGAUAGGACCAGUGAAAUUGUUGUGAGAGAAGUUGAGCAUUUGCAGGGAAAUAAGUUGCCCGAUGUCCUCGGGAAUUUUUCCAUAGAAUUGGUUGUUUGACAAGUCGAUAGAUACAAAAAAGGCCACGGCCUUCGUCAAUUCAAGCUCCAAUCUUUUUGUUGUUACAUUCACAGGAACUUCAUAACUGCCACUACCAUAUGUAGCUGUGGAGUACGACCACUCAUUAGGUUUAUCUUUCAUUGCUCUCAAAUUUCGAAAGAGUUUUGUGGACAAAGUGCCCGUAAAUUCAUUUCCAGAUAUAUCAAUUAUUCGCAAUGCAGAGAAGUUUGAUGAAGCUACAGAAUGAGGCAGUGAUCCAUAAAAUCUAUUAAAUCUCAAGAUAAGUAUUUGCAAACUUGGAAGCGAAGCUAACCAAUGGGGAAAUCUAUCCUUUAACUUGUUGUUCCCUAAAUUUAAAAGUUCCAAUGAAGUAGAAUUAACCAAAGAUGGCGGUACCAAUCCUUCCAGUUGAUUGUCAUUGAGUAAAAGAUGGUUCAAAUGAUUACUCACAAAAGAAUCAGGGAUCUUGCCAAUGAAGUUGUUCAUUUGCAAAUCCAAGAACGUGAGAUGGCUAAAAUUUCCAAGACAAUCAGGAAUAGUUCCACUCAAGUUGUUUUCGGACAAGUCCAGAACAUCAAUUGAACUCAAAUUGCAAAUAGAAGAAGGGAUGUUUCCUGUCAAUUUGUUCUUUGAAAUGAUGAUCACUUCCAACUCCUUUAAAUUUGGAAUUUGAGGAUUCAAGCAAGUUGAAAGAAUUGGUCCUUGAAGCAAGUUGGAAUGAAGGUUGAGAUAAUCCAAAUUGCUCCCCGGAAAUUGGUCCAAAGCAAUCAAAAAGUUAUGAGAAAGGUCCAACGAUAGCAAUCCUUCCCACCCUUCAGCUUCCCAUUUGGAAAUUCCACCAGAAAUCAUAUUAUUUGAAAGAUCUAAUUCCUCCAAGUUCGAUGUUUGAAAGAAAUUCGGGAACUGCCUUAUGCUACAACCAGAGAAGUUCACAGAUCUAAGCUGGGGGAAAGAAUAGUUCACAUCAUUGCCGCUUGUGCUUAAUGAUAAUAAACUAUUAUUUGAAACAUCAAGAACUUCAAGACUCGUGAGUUUUGAAAGCAUAUCUGACUUGAUCACACCACUCAAGUUGUUUGAAGACAAGUCAAGUGAAGUAAGGUUCACAAGAUAAAAAAUGGAAUACGGUAUUGAACCACCAAUGUUAUUAUUACUCAAAUCAACUGAUCGGAUGGAACUAGGCUUCUGAAUUCGAUCAAUCGGACCAACUAGUUUGUUAUAACUGAGGUCCAAGAGUGGAGAUGGCAGAGUAAACAACCAAGAUGGUACUCCACCACUUAUAGAGUUAUUAUGUAACCAAAGACCCUCAAGAAAUUGAAGCCCACUAACAUGAUUUGGCAAGGGGCCCUCCAAGUGAUUAUUUGACAAAUCCAAACCGAUAAUUUUUGUGAGGUUGAAGAUAGUUGUCGGAAGUGGACCACUCAAAUUGCAUGAAGAAAAGCUCAAAGAAGUUAAUUUUCUAAGCUCUCCAAAAACAUCUGGAAUCUGUCCUUCAAGCGAAUUUCGUUGUAAAUUAACGGAAAUGAUUUUAGUGAGAUUUCCAAAUGUUGCUGGAAUUGGCCCCCUAAAACCACAAUGGGAAAGGUCCAACAACUCAAGGCCACUACUCCAGUUUGUGUUAGGGAGAUAACCUGUGAGAUUUUCAUUCUCACUUAAAUCUAAAUAUUUGAGGUUUGGAAGCUGAGAAACUUGAGUUGGAAAUUCCCCAUGUAAUUGACAAUGGGAGAGACUCAAAUGUUCAAGGGAUGAAGACAAGUUUAGAAAGGAAGUAAGUGCAACAUCAGACAUAUCUACACCAUUAAGUACAAGGUUUCUUAAUUUGGUCAAGUUUGUUACAAGCAUGUCAAAACCUUGGCCAUCAAAUCUCGAGAUUAAGCCAGAGAAUUCAUUACCCGCGAUAUUAAGAUGGGUUAAACUCACCAACUGGCUAAAUAACUUUGAUGAGAUGGGGCCAUUGAAAUCAUUAUCAGCAAGGUUGAGUCGUUGGAGUCCAUGAAAGUGAAACAAGCUGCUGGUGUUCUCAAGAAGAGAGCCUCUGAGGUUGUUGGAGCUCAAGUCAAGCCAUUGGAGAUUGUGAAGUUGAAAGAGGCUGUUGUUUGCAAAGAGAGAACCAACAAGGCAACUCUGACUAAGAUCGACGCCGAUUACAUGACCAGUCACAUUGUCGCAUUUCACUCCGUCCCAUGAACAACAAUCAAUGCUUUUGCUCCAUGACUCUAUGUCUAUCCUGGGGUAAGGAUCUCGAUAAUCACUAUCAUAACUAAAAUAACAAUCAACAGAAAUGGUGGUUUUAAAACGGAGCAAAGCAUCUCUCUGGUGUGGGAGACAUAAAUGAGAGGAUGGAGGAGGAAGAGAGGAAGACAAAGUCCAUGAAAGUUGCAAGACCACCAAAACCAGGUAAAGGCUUCCCAUAUUUUUUUUUCUCCAAAAAAGAAACAAGUACAAAGUUGAGAAACAAAGGAUGUCUAUUAUAACAAAGGAUGUUCCAAAAAAGAAACAAGUAGAAAGUUAAGAAAGAAAGGGAUGUGUAUUAUAAGAACAACCAAGUAAGUCUAUCUCAUUUUUAGACGUUAGUAAAAUUUGUGGUCUAAUAACGUCGCUAGUUCCCGUAUCCUUUGAAGUUUUGAAAUUUAGCCCCUACGCUUUUAAUUCUAGGAAUUUAAUUUUUUUUACUUGUCUGAUUUAAAAAUUAAAAUUCAGUUGAUAAACUUUUUGAAAUAUUAAUGGUUAAAUUGACUCUUUUUAAAAGACUGAGAGUUAAAUUUAACUCAAAAAAAAAGGACAAAGACUAAAUUGAAAAUAUAUAUGUUGACAGUUAAAUUUGACAUUAUGCCUAAUUUCCCUCUACUUAUUUGAUUUAAAAAUUGAAGUCGCUAUGAUCAUACUGUUAACUUAUGUUAAAUUUAAUAUGUGUUAUGAAUUAAAUUUUGAUUUUUAAAUCAAGUUUCUUAAUACUAAAAUGUCACAUAUUUAAAUGCCAAAGAAGUUCAUUAAUAGUGUUAUCAAUUAGAUCACUUUAAGAAAAGUAAUUAAAUUUGACCCUUAUUCUUUUUUUUAGUUAAAUUUGACCAUAAACCUUUCAAAUAGUGUCAGGUCACUUUUUUGUAAUGAAAAUACUGACUAAACAAUAACUUUUUUUAAUAAAAUUGGCGUGACAAUUCAUAUGGCAAUCCACAAUUUAAAAAUAUAAAAAUUCAAAAUUUAAAAUUCAAAAGAAUUGUAAAAAAUUUAUGCAGUACUUUAAACAUAAUUACACCAACUUGCAAAAUAAGUCGAGAGAAUUCGCUUGUAAAAAAUAGGUUGGAACAAAAACCAAGCAUUUCCAAACUUUUUUCUUGGAAAUUGCUCUAAAGUGGUCAAAAAGUUAGGAUAAAGGGUCACUACCAAUACCAAUUAAUUUAAGGUUAAAUUCGACUAUUGCCAUUAGUUGGAUUUUAAUCAUGGAUUAUGAAUGUUAAAUAAAAUUUGAUGGUAUCUUAAUCAUGAAUUAUGAAUGUUAAAUAAAAGUUGAUGGUAUUUUAAUAAUGAAAAUACUGAUUAAAUAAUAAUUUUUUAAUAAAAUUAACGUGACAAUUCGUGCGAUAAUUUAUACAUAUUUCAAAGAUAACAUUAUUUAUCUUAUAUCCUACGUCAACUUGCAAUUUAAAAAUAUAAAAAUAAGUAGAGAGAAUUAGCUUGUAAAACAAUUGAGCAUUUCCAAACUCUUUCCUGGGAAUUGCUCCAAAGUGGUCAAAAAGUUUACGAGAGAGGGUCCACUACUAUUGCCGUUAGUUGAAUUUGCAGCAACAAUGUUAGUCUACCCUGUGGAAAAUUAUGAAUGUUUUAAUCAUGAAAUCGAUGGAUACAACACAUGUACUAAAUGUUUUAGACAAAUUUUUCCAUCUAUACAAACAAAACAUUGCAAAAGACAAAAGAUAAGACUCUUAACUCUACACUAGAGGUGAUCAUGGCCGCCCAGAUAAAAUUUUAGACCCAUUUUCUAGGCCCAGGCCCGGUCCAAAAAAAUUGCUAAGUCCGAGCCUAGUCCGGCCCGGCCUAUAUUUGAUUAAAAAUAAAAUAUAUAUAUUUAAUAUAUAAUUCAGAUUAAAAGUCCAAAAAUAUAUAUAUAUUUAAUAAAAAGUAUAUUUGAUUAAAAAUAAAAAUAUAUAUAUUUAAUAUAAAAGUCUUACCCGAGGCCCGGCUCGUUUUCUAAACGGGUCUCUUUUUUUGCCCAAACCCAUAUUUUGAGCCUAUAUUUUUACCUGAACCCUCUCAUUUUUUGGGCGAGCCGUCAGGCCGGGUCAAGUAGCCCAACCCAUAAUCACCUUUAAUUCUACAGUUUCUUGUUUUCAUAUAUUGUAUUAUUAAUGAGAAGACCUUGACUUUCAUAUUUUCUUCACAUUCCCAUGUCAUUGUUUACUUAUAUUUUAUUUUAUUUUAUUAAUAAUAAGUUUUAUAAUUUCAUUGAUUUGAUCAUUUUCCAUAACUACAUUUAAAAUGCAACUUCCAUUGAUUAAAAAGAAAAUCACAUUCGCAAUACUAAGAACACCUUAAUUAUUUUACUUAUCAUCUCCUAAAUCAACAACACCUCCCAUUUAUUUAUUCUAAUAUCUUCUAAGAAAUUAAACAUGCUUAAUCACUUAACGUGCAAGAACAAAUACACUAGUGUACAAAAAAAGUCACUCAAUUGUAAUUUUUUUUUAAAUUAAGUAGCCAAAAUAUAAAUUUAUCCAUGAUUUAGUAACUAAUGGUGUAGUUUACCCUUAUAUCAUACGUAGUUGUCCAAAUCUGCCCUAGCUCGAAAUGACCAUUCCAGUAUGUAGGCUCACUUAUAUUUGUAAAUGGGUAACUUAAGCCCAUUUAGGCUAUCCAUAUUAACUUUUUUAUUUAAUAUUUAGUAAUUAUACUUUUUAUUAAAUUUUAAAAAUCUUUAGUAAUUAUUUUUUUAAAAAAUCAUAUUUUUGAGGCAAAAUUAAGGAGUGCAGGCAGGCAUGGGCUUCAAUUCGUCUAAUUCUUUUUUUCUAGCAGAUUGAGUCUUAACUCAAUUGACAUUGAUAUUGUUGUCAGUGCAGGAGGACGUGGGUUUGAGUGCACUGAAGCGCAUUAUCCUCCUAUUUAAGGGUUGCGGAGAGGCUAUGAGUAAUUCUAAGCAUUGUAUAAAAAAAAGGAGCAAAUGCAAUAAUAAUCUGAGAUUAAAAUUAAAAAAAAUUGUUUUGAAAAUUUGAUAAAAUAUUUAUUUUGUAUAAAAUAAAUUAUAUUUAAACAAAUCACUUUUUGAAAUUCAGGCAUAUCCGUAUAUCACAAUCCUAAGUAACAUAUCUUUAAAUUUACUUUACUACAAUAGCCUUUUUGAAAUAUUACUGGUUAAAUUUGACUUUUUUAAAAAGGUUGAGAGUUUAAUUUAAUUCAAAAGGAGGAAUAAGGGUUAAAUUGACAAAAGAUAUAAAUAUUGAGGGCUAAAUUUGAUAUUAUGCCUAAUUUCCCUCUACUUGUCUAAUUAAAGUAUUUUUUAUAAUACUACUAACUUUUUAUGUUAAAUUUAAUAUGUGUUAAAUUUUUAUUUUUAAAUUAAGACUUUUUAAUAUUAAAAUACUACCGCAUAUUCAAAUGUGACAGAAGUUUAUUAAUAGUGUUAUCAAUUAGGUUAAAAAUUUUAAAUCAAUUAGACAAUUUUAUGUACACAAAUUAUGUCUUCACAACACAACUAUUUAUUAAUAAUUAAAAAUAAUAAUUGAAAGUAAAAGAAAAACAAACCAAUUGUUUCAUUAAAUCUAACAAAUCUACCAUUUGAAUUUUAUAAUUUACAAUUACUUGUCAAAUGCGAUUUGCAUUUAUUAAAAAAAUCAUAUUUAAAUUCCUUCAUAACAACUUGAAUACUGGCAUCUCAUGCAAAGAUAUACCUUAUAUAAAGAACUUUUUUAUUAAUAUUUUUACAAUUCUACUUGGAGUAUUUUGGAAGUAUUUUUUAUUAAUAUUUUUUUGUUCUAAUUUGUGCAAACAUGUUGAGUAAUCUAAUAUGGUGUGUUAGUUAAGUGCCUUGGAAAUAUGCUUAAGGAUCAUAGAUCAAUUUUCUUGUUUUCAAUUUUUCUUAUCUAUUUGGUAUUAUGGUCAACUUAGCUUUUUUAGGGCUUAAAUUAUUUUCUUUGUUGGGUUGUGACAAAGAUGAACCUAGUAGUUCAAUAGUCUUGAGUUUGAAUCCCAUUAUACAUAAGCCGGAAAUAUUUUUGCGUGGGACUUUGUUGGGUAUUAGAAUUUAAUUUAAAUUCUAUAAAAUCCUUUUUUAAAUCUAUUGUAACUUAAUUUUUAUCCAAUCCCUAUUUUUGCUCCCUAAUCAACCAUCUAAGGCUUCAUUUGGAUUGAGGUUUAAAGGCAGUGAGAUGCGUUUACAUGGAAAACAUGGUGCCAAACUCACUGCUGUGUUGUUUGGUUUAGACUAUCAGUGCAGUGGGGUUUCUUUUUCACCACGCUGGUUAGCUGAUUUUCAGCUGGAGAAGUGGAAGGCUAAACGCAGCCGUUGGCACUGUAGCAGACAAAAAUAACCUUAUUAUCAUUUCCAAUAAGGAUAAAACAUGACAAGGAAUAUUAUUUAGUUGUAGGAAGGACCAUAAAACCACCUGCAAGAACUUGAUGAUGUUGCUAGCACCAAAGACACGAUGAGCAAUUGCGAACUUGGCUGGUUCAGUAGGAGGAAAAUAAGGUGCCAACACUCAUUUAUCAGCACACCUUCUCCUCAAAAUUUUGCAAGCGACACAUGGGCUAAUAACCACCAGCGGUGGCGACAACGGUGGAGAAGGUGGUGAGUUCGAAGAGAUCAAAGAAUUGGGAGAAAGGGAUGGAGAAGAAGAAAUAGUAGGAGUUGGAAUUGGUUCACUGUAUUCCAUAUCUUGCAAAAUGAGUUUUUAGGGAAAGGAUAUGAAAAAGCAAGAUGAAAUUGUAAAAGAGAAAAAGAGUUAUGGAGCUUAUAAAUUAGUUUUGGGUACAAAUGGGUAUACUAUUAUUUAUACUGCAAACGAAGCAUAUAAUAAUAAGGUCAUGUAGUAUGAAACAUGACCUCAACGGUUCUAAGUUCUUCUAAUCUUUGUAUACGUGUUCCUUUUCCCCCCUUAAUUAUCUCAGUUAAGGGUAAAUACAUUCAAGGCCACUAAACUAUUAUUAAAUUUACGUUUUGGUCACUCAAUUUCAAAAAGUUAUAAAAAUGAUUAUUAAGUUAUUUGAAUUACAACAAAAUUCACAUAUUUUAAUAAUUUUUAAAAAAAGUAAAAUAAUUUAAAAAACUUCUAUUAUAUAUCAAUUCUAAUAUGAUGUCCUUAAUAGUCUUUUUUAAUUCUCACAUCACCGCUACAGCUGCGUUUGAAUCUAAACACACACUCCACCAUUGUUUCUAAUCUCACCGCUACAGUGUACAAUCUCACCGCUACAGUAACUAAUCUCACCGCCACCGCUGUUUUUAACCUCACCGGAGGUAAACACACCGUCCAUCCAAACUAACCCUAAGUCUAAAAUUUUGUUGCACGUUUCUUUGGUUCCCCAAGUCUGCCGUUUUCUUUUUCAUCUUUUCUUCUUGUGCUUUUGCUCUUUUUUUUCUUUUUCUUUGAAUUCCAUUUUCUUUCCUUUGAUUUGCAAUCUUGGUUGUGGCUAUUGAGUGAUUGUGGGUGUUGUCGUGGAAACUUUGGGUGAUAUCUGUAAAUUCGAGUGAAGUGAAAGUGCGCGGUAAUAAUUUCUGAUAUUAGGAUUUUUAAUCGUUCUUUGUUUCAAGAUGGGGUUUCGUUAGUGUUUACCUUCGAUCUUAUUUGUGAUUAACGUAAUCGUUUUUUGGUUAGGCAAAGGAACUGGAAAUCAACUUCUCCCAGCGGAGUAGGUCUCAAUUUGAUACUGCUUUCUGAGUGGUAAGCGUUCGUCUUCGAUUUGGGGACUGUCAUUUUAGUAGUUAUAUGUUAUUUUGGAGGAAUCUUUUGGUGGAUAAUUCAUAUAUUUAUUGGUUAAUUGUAGGAUUAUUGAGUUUCCAUUAGCGUGGUUAAUCGAUUACUGCAUCAGGUGUGUGAAAUCAACUCAAAAACAUUGUGACCUGCUAUUAGAAAAAGAACUGCAAUAGCUAAAUGAUGGUGUGUAAUAUCAGUCAACCAUAGACCCCUCAAUCACUGGAUCUAAUCCUCCAUGAAAAGUAAGAAAUUCUGCAUAUUUUGACCAAUUCAAGGUAAAAAAAUGGGCUUGCUCCCUUGGCAAAACUGGGAUAAAGUUGAGCCAAAAGAUCACAAUUCAAGAUAAAUUCAUGGGGAAGUGGGAUCUCUUUAGGGUCUACUCCAGCAUUUAGUAUGAAACUCGAUUUAAUCACUAAAUUAGGUUUUUUUUGAAAUUGUCCAGCAUCACACGGUCAUGUGUGCAGGCCUUGUGACUGACUGUGAGUUACCACACGAUCGUGUGGUAGGUUGUGUGCCAAGUCGUCUGGUGCACACUGCUGUGUGUUUUUUUGCAGGCUGUGUAGGUGUGCCAUGUAGGGCACACAGCCAUGUGAGAUUUUUGUAGACCAGUGUUGACCACACUAGCUAAUUUUUUGGGCCAUGUGGUCCCUUUUGGUCAAUUUUUGAACCCGAUUAGGAGCCAUUUGAAGCACUCAAAGUUUGGGUCCGUAGGCAUCAUACGAGGCCAAAAAAGUGUAAGUUUUAGUACAUAAUAAUAUAUGUAUAAGCUUACGAAGUAUUUUAAACAAGAUAUGUUACAAUUAAAUCAUAUGCUAUGUUAUGACCUAUAUGAAAAUAUGUGUGUAUGCACGACAUGUGAUAUAGGAUAUAUGUAUGUAUGUAUUGUACAGCCCAAUAUUUGCCCGGCCCAUUACAAAAUUAAACCAAACCCAAAUCUCAAGCCCAAAUACCCAAAUGGCCCAAAUCAGAAACAACAAAAUUUCCUAACCCUAGGUGCGCCUCACCUAGGGUUCUCAGACCCAACUGUAGCUGCCCUAGCUCUGCCACCGCCGCGCCGCACGUCCCAUCACCCCACUUGCACCUACUCCACCUGCAAACAAUAAAGAAAAACCACAGCAACAAGCAACAGGAAAAACUUGUGUUUUUUUUUUAGUAUAAAAACCGAUUGUAGAGGGAUUAAUGAGGGGUUCUUCGAAAAAAAAAGAGGAAAUCUAUUCAAAAAAGGAAGAACAAAGAUUUAAAAAAGCAAUAAAAGGUCACUCUUUUUUAUUUUUGUUUCGUUUUUUAUUUAUUUUUUAUUUAUUUUGAAAUACAAAAUAAAACAAGAAAGGAGGCAUUUUACCCUUUUUACCGACGCCGGAGCAAUCAGGAGGACGAGGAGACCAUUCGGAGAAAAAAAGGGAGACUUUUGGUCUCCCUACAGCCGUGCACGGCGACGCUGGCGCCGGCGGCCGGCAUGGUGGCCUAUGGCCGGACCUUAGGCCGGAGUUUGGACUGAAAGAGGGGAGGGGAGACAACUUUAAGUUUUUUUUUUUGAAAUAACAAGGCAAAUGAAUUUUUUUUCUAGAAAAUUGGCUUAAAUAGGCUUCCAAAACGGCGUCGUUUUGGGCAGCCUUCUCAGGCACCAAAACGGAGCCGUUUUGCUCUUGACCCGAAUUUCAACCUGACCCGCCAGAAGGAUCAACGUGUUUUCAACAGAAGGGCUGAUUGCACCUUUUGCCCUUCCGCUUUUUAAUGGUUUUAUAAUUAAGUCUUUUAUCAUUUUUAAUUUGGACCUGCGGUUUUUGCGCUUAUUCCAAUUUGGUCCUGAACGAAAUGACUCGCUAAAGGUUGGGAAUAUUUGCUCAAUCAGCCCUCCAUUCUUUAGGCAUGUUCUAUUUCAGUCCCUGGCCACUCCUUUCUUAUUUUAUUUGCGAUUUUCACCCCCAAAUUUUUGUUUUAAGUUCAAAUCAGUCCUUUUUUGUUACUUUGGUUAAUUUAUUAUUAAAAUUGACAAAUUUGAUGUUAUUAUUAUUAUUAUUAUCAUUAUUAUUAUAAUUGCUCUUAUAUAUGUAUAUUUUUUUGUAUAUAUAUACAUAUAUUUUUUAUAUACUUACAUACAUACUUUUUGUAAUAUAUAUGUAUACAUAUACACUUACCUAUUUUUAUAAUUUAUUUAUACAUGUAUAUAUACAUACUUACAUUUUAUGUAUAUUGUAUAAUUUUUAUACAAAUCUAUAUACAUGUCUAUAUGUAUUUUAUUUUCAAAAUAUAUAUAUACACUUAUAUAUAUUCUUCAUAUUUUUUUUAAAUAUGUAUUUUAUAUAUGUGUUCUUUAUAUUUUAUGAUUCAUAUGUAUAUCUAUAUAUAUACUUCUUAUUUUAUGAUAGUUACAUACAUAUAUAUGUAUAUGCUUACUUAUAUAUAUUCUUUAUUUAAUAUUUUUAAAAUACACAUAUACAUAUAUUUUUCAUAUUUUUAUAAAUUUAUGAACAUACACACGUUUUUAUAACGUACAUACUUAUAUUUUAUAUUUUUGUACUUUAUAAUCUAUAUACGUAGUUGCAUAGUUACAUAUUUGAUUUUCCAUACGUAUACGCAUCCCCAUAUACCUUUUGAUUUUUGUAUGUUUACGUGCAUGUCUUUUUAGGAUAUAUAUAUAUACUCACUUGUUUUGUUAUAUAUUUAUAUUAUUACUUGCUUAUUUACAUUUUGUAUUUCCGAACUUUAUUAUACAUAUGUGCAUAGAUGUUUUCAUUUGUUUUGUCUUUGUCUUUAUUUUUAUUCUCAUUUUACAAUUUUAUUUAUUUUCAUUGAAGUUAUUAUUGUCUUAUUUGAUUUAUUCCCAUCAUUAUUUCUAUGAAAUGUUUUAGCCCUAGUAAUUUAUUAUUUCAUGUAUAAUUGUUUUGUCAUCUUUUAUUGAUUUACCAUUUUGUUGUGGUUGUUCGUAUUAUUUACGAUUCACAUAAUCGUAUUCAUAUUUAUUUAGUUACGCAUAUUAACAUCGUAUCUUAUUUCUACUAUUUCGUGUUAAAUUAUUUCAUUCAAUGUAUGAAUUAUGACUUUUGAAUAAACAAAAUUUCGUGUUUAGAUUUGAGAAAGUCGUACCCUAACUUACUGGGUUUCGACUUUCACAAUAAAUCUAAAGACACGAAUCUUUUCAAACUCUAGUUUUUAAAUAAUCUCGGGAAUUAAGAAAAGAUCAUGUCCUAACUUACUGGGCAUGAUCCCUUUUCUAAACCCGAGAUAAUUAAAUGUCUUUUUAAAUAAGUAAAUCUUUUGGCAUGUAUUCUCGUAUCAGGAAUUCGAUAAGUUGUGUCCUAACGCAUUGGAUAUGACAUGUUGUUUUCUCGAGAUGAGGAUUUUUCUAAAAAAAAAUAAGUAAGACAAUAUUUUGUGUUUGAAAAUUCGAGGAAAUGUGCCCUAAUGUGCUGGGUUUCGAUUUCUCGAUUGACCAAAUAGCCAAAUAUCCUCUUAAAUCUUAAUCCAUGCCAUUCAAGUUUUUUUUAGGAUCGUAUUUUAAAUCUCUUUAAAGUUUUCAGUUUUUCGACACUAAGACAUUAAGUAAUCAACUAGGUACCAAAUUUGGACGUAUCGAGGGUGCUAAUCCUUCCUCGUGCGUAACCGACUCCCGAACCUAUUUUUUCUGAAUUUCGUAGACCAAAAUCGUUGUUUUAAUAAAAUCAAAUCGUUUAUUAAAAAUAAUCGUUUUUCAAGGUGACCCGAUCACACCUUAUCAAAAAGGAUUGGUGGCGACUCCCGUUUUUUUCGUUUUCAUUUUCAAAAUCCAAGUCGACCCCGUUUUCAUCAAUAAAAUGGUGUCAACAUGUAUGAUUUAUGAUUAUGAAAUGCAUGUGUUUUGGGGGUGGGUUAUGAUAUGAUGGAUGAAGUGUUAUAUGGCACUUUAUACUGCAAUUAUGGCAGUUAGACUGCAAAUUUAUGUAUGGCAGCUAAGCUAUAAAUAUAUGAGUGGCACACUGCCACAUAUUGGUGUGAUUGGUUGGAUGGACUCUUGUAGCCCUAUAUGGUAUGAUUGGUUGGACAAAAAUAAUGUGUAGCGGAUGGGGUAGGACAUGAUAUGAUAUAAUAAGAUAUGCUAUGCUAUGAUUGAAUGUAAUAUGAUAUGCUAUGAUUCAGUACGAUAUUGUACGUUAAAAUAAGAUCAGUAUGAAAUUGGAUAUGAUAAGAAAUAUUAUGAGACUUUCUGAUACAUAUGUAUGUUUGUACCAAAAUUAAGAGCUAAAUCACACACUGGGUUUAAAGCUCACAUCAUUGCUUGAUUCGAUUCAGGUGAUCCUCCAACAUAGGGUUGGACGACGACUUUGGAGCUCGGGUUUCACAUUUUUGGUUUAAGUACUAUAGAUUUUAUUUUUGUUCAAUAUGGACAUUUUGGACUUUCUUGGGUUUUUGUUUAUUUUUGGACACUUUAUGUUUUGUUUAGAACGUUAGGAUUAUUUUGGUAUUUAUUUCGCAAAAUUUUGUAUCUUUUAAUGGUGCUCAACUUAAGAUAACUAAAAAUGCACCAAGGUUUUAAAAUCGAUAUGCUAUAAGGUUUUCCAUUUCAAGAUUAAUUGAAAUUUUCUAUAGUGUUUUAUCUUGCAAACGUUUUAAGUAAUUUAGAUUUGAUUUUGGUAAAACUACUUAAGCUGUGGUUUUGGAAAAACUAUUACGCUUUUCAAAGAGUAAAUCAAUUUGAUCAUCUUUCUGUUGGAAAUUGGAUUUCAUCAAUAUCAAACACUUGUUUCUUUUUGCAUGAGUGGUGUAACCUUCAUAAUCUGAUCGUAACGUCUAGGUUGAGUAUGGAAUGUUAUAGUACAAGUAUCAAAAAGAACCUAAUUAUUAAGUUCGAGCCAAAAAUUAUAUUAUCUCUAAGAGCUAUUAGUGAUUCAUACUUCAAUUACAUUAAAUAUUAACUAUGAAUUUUUUUUUUAAAUCAACUGGUUCAAAGCUCUUCUUUGGACUGUAGAUUGUUGGAACAAUGGCAGCAGCAAAAUAAGAGAACAGAGAGAACAGAACAUGAAGCAAGGUGCAAGAAAAUUUUUACUAGCUCACAAACGUGCAGCAAGGGAGCUUAUGGCUGAUAGCUCAUUCAGCUCAUUCAUUCAACUAGAAAAACAACAUAUAUAUAGUCAAAUACAUCACCAAAUACUACCUACUACCACUAGUUUUACUUUGAAACAAGUAAAACUUAACUUGUACACAAGCUGAUUAUGUCAAUCAGCACCUAAAAACAUCAGAACAACACCAACUUAGUUCAUUUUCAACUAAGUAGCUUAGCAAAGAAACUAAGGAGAAAACCUUGCUGUUACAACAAGUAUACGUGCUGCAGCAUAUCAUCAAGCUGCAUGCACUUCAAACAGCAGCAUGGUUGGCCAAUUUCAACACUCCUCCUUGGGCUCCAUGCUGCAAAUACCAGUCAUUCAUCAAGUUCUUUGAACUUGGCAGCCCUUAGAUGCUUUGUUUCAAGCUGACCAAUUCAUUUUCAACCUUGGCUUCAUUCACAAACAAAUUUGACUUACACACUUGACUAUCCCAGUCUUUUGUGCCAAAGAUUUGUUCACCAAAUGGAGUCUUCUCCUCCUUCACAGCCUUGGUUGACAACACAUCUUGCCUUGUUUCUUUGCUUCUUCUUGCACAAACAGUUCGUGAGUAUAGUUUGCUUGCACAAACUGUCUUCAACAGGCUUGCAACUAUACAACAUGCAUUGAGCUUCCACAUGAUGCUGAGCUCACACCUUUGACAGACUCACAUCUUUGCAUAUUGUCUUCAACAGGUGUCUUCAACAGGCUCGCACUUUGCUAAGCUUGCAUCUUUGACAUCUUGCUAAGCUUGUACAUUUGGAAAGCUCACACCUUUCCUUGAAACUCCUCCUUCAGCUUAUUCAAGCUUGUUUGGGGGUCUCAUAAGUUUGAGCCGAUGCUGUCUUCUCUACAAGCAUAAUGACUUGCUUGUGCUUUGACAGCUUCUUUCUUUUUAACAAGCAACGGAAGCAAAAUCAAUGGCUCCUUAAGACUUAGGCUCUUGAUACCAUUUGUUGGAAAAAUGACAGCAGCAAAAUAAGAGAACAGAGAGAACAGAACAUGAAGCAAGGUGCAAGAAAAUUUUUACUUGCUCACAAACGUGCAGCAAGGGAGCUUAUGGCUGAUAGCUCAUUCAGCUCAUUCAUUCAACUAGAAAAACAACAUAUAUAUAGUCAAAUACAUCACCAAAUACUACCUACUACCACUAGUUUUACUUUGAAACAAGUAAAACUUAACUUGCACACAAGCUGAUUAUGUCAAUCAGCACCUAAAAACAUCAGAACCAUACCAACUUAGUUCAUUUUCAACUAAGUAGCUUAACAAAGAAACUAAGGAGAAAACCUUGCUGUCACAGCAAGUAUACGUGCUGCAGCAUGUCAUCAAGCUGCAUGCACUUCAAACAGCAGCAUGGUUGGCCAAUUUCAACACAGAUACCUGGAUUGAUUCCUGAUCCGACCGGCCAAUCUGGUUCAAACAAUAUUAGAUUGCUUUUUCCUUUUACUUCCUGUUACAAACAGAAACCAAAGUUGAAAAUGAACCAUGAGAACUGGUUGGACCGUGAAUCAGAAGUUUAACAUAGUUAUUGGAAUGGUACGAGUGAGAUUUCCAAAUGAUGCUGGAAUUGACCCUAGCUCCAACAACUAGCAAAAUUUGUUAUGUUUUGUUUUUUUUUUUUUUUUAAGAAAAAGGAAGAAUAAUCAAAUUUUGCUAAGGGCAACCAAGUUGGUCCCCUGCAUUUAAGAAAAGUAAAAUGGAAGUUGAUUCAUUCACUGUAUAUAUAACUAUCCAUAUUAACAGUACGUAGAAGAAAGAUGGUUUUACUUUCUGCCUUAAGGAGAGAAUACAAAAGCUAGUAGAAAAUCCACUCUCUUGCAUAAAUUAUAAAAUUGACAUGGAAAAUACAAAACUAGUAGGAAGAAAACAUUGCAAAAGACAAAGAUAAGCCAAAAGCUGCAGUGAAUGUCUAGAUUUUUAUUUUGAUAGAUUGAAUUAUUCAUAAAAAAAUUAAAUUAAAAAUUAAAAAUAAAAAUUUGUUGUAUUCUUGAUUUUUUUUAUUGGUAAAAAGAAUUGAAAGUAGAAAAGAAAAACAAAUCAAUUGUUUCAUAAAUCUAACAAAUCUACUAUUUAAAUCUUAUAAUUUACUAUUACUUGUAAAAUGCGACUUCCAUUGAUUAACAAAAUUCAUUUUGAACUCCAUCAUAACAACAAGAAUUUAGCAUUGGAAUUCAUACAAUAAGAAUUUAACAGAUACAGUAAUAUUUUCUUCACGUACAGUUUAAGUUUAUGGAGUAUUUAAACAUAAUUACACAACACCCACAAAUACAAAUUUAGAAAUUAUGAUGAACAUAAAAACACUCAUAUCAUCCGCUAAAUUAUUCUAAUCGCUCCCGAGGAAACUGAACGUGUUGAAUCUUCCCAUCCGAUUCAAUCCUGAGUUCCAAUGCCGCUAUCACAAAUUACAAAAAUAGAAGAAAGAAAAACAUGUUUUAACUUAAAUAUUAGACUAAGAAAGAUUAAACUUAUGAAAUGCUUGUUAGAAAAGAAUCUCACCCACUCAAGAUGUUGGAUGCAGAGCUAGUUUCUUAUGAAAUUGUAUUGCCUGUCUAUCCACCUUUCUAACAAACCACCAUGGUCUUUCAGUUGUGAACACAAUGUAACCUAGGCUCAAUCCUAGCACCACUCCACUUUCAUACCCCAUCAUUACAACUUGCCAAAAGAAGGGUAUUUCAGAACCUUCAUGUUCCACCACCAAUGGUAGACUUAGUUCAGCAUUCCCAUGUUCCACCACCAAUGGUAGACUUAGUUCAGCAUUCCCAUGGUCGACGCAUUGCUUGGACAAUGGUAACCCACACAAUCCCAAGUUACCACUAUAGGAAUCAUUAUCAAACGUAUCGAAUUGAUUCCCAUGAGAAAUUUGUCCAAUAAAAUUGUUGUUUGAAAGAUCCAAUACUUCAAGAAAUGUCAGCUUCGUCAUUUGAGAAGGAAUCCUGCCACUGAGCUUGUUUGAUGAAAGAUCCAAUGAUUUAAGUGCUACCAAAUUUCCAAACGAUGUUGAGAUAGGAUCCGAAAAGAUGUUGUGAGAGAAGUUGAGCAUUUGCAAGGAAAUAAAUUGCUCGACGUCCUUGGGAAUUUUUCCACAGAAUUGGUUGUUUGACAAGUCCAUAGAUACGAAAAUAUCUAAGAUCUUUGUCAAUUCCAUCUCCAAUCUUUCCGUUGUCACAUUCACAGGAAUUUCAUUAUUAAUACCAAGGAAAUGCGAGUAUAACAAGUCUUUAGGUUUAUCUUUCAUUGCUCCCAAAUUUUGUAAGAGUUUCGUGGACAAUGUGCCCGUGAACUUAUUUCCAGAGAGAUCAAUUAUUCGCAAUGUAGAGAAGCUAGAAGAAGCAAUGGAAUGAGGUAGAGAUCCAUAAAAUCUAUUAAAUCUCAAGAUAAGAACUUGCAGACUUAGAAUCGAAUCUAACCAACGGGGAAACCUAUCCGUUAACUUGUUGUUCCCUAAAUUUAAAAGUUCCAAUGAAGUAAAAUUAGCCAAAGAUGGUGGCACUAAUCCUUCCAAUUGAUUGUCAUUGAGUAAAAGAUGGCUCAACUCAUUAUUAUUCACAAAGAAUUAGGGAUCUUGCCAAUGAAGUUGCUACUUUGCAAGUCCAAUAACUCGAGAUAGCUAAAAUUACCAAGACAAUCAGGAAUAGUUCCACUCACGUUGUUUUCGGACAAGUCCAGAACAUUAAGCCGACUCAAAUUGCAAAUAGAAGAAGGGAUGUUUGCUGUGAAUUUAUUCUUUGAAAUGAUGAUCAUUGACAACUCCUUUGAAAUUGGAAUUUGAGGAUUCAAGCAAGUUGAGAGAAUUGAUACUUGAAGCAAGUUGGAAUGAAGGUUGAGAAAUCUCAAAUUAUUUUCCGGAAAUUCCUCCAAAGUUGUCAAAAAGUUAUGAAAAAGGUUCAAGGAUAACAAUCCUUCCCACCCUUCAGCUUCCCAUUUAGAAAUUCCACCAGAAAUCAUGUUAUUGGAAAGAUCUAAAACCCACAACUUCGAUGUUUGAAAGAAAUUCGGGAACUGCCUUACGCUACAACCAGAGAAUAUCACAUAUUUAAGCUGGGGGAAAAGAAUAGUUCACAUCAUUACCACUUUUGCUUAAUGAUAAUAAACUAUUACUUGAAACAUCAAGAAUUUCAAGACUCGUUAGUUUUGAAAGCAUAUCUGACUUGAUCACACCACUCAAGUUGUUGGGUGACAAAUAAAGUGAACAAAGGUUCACAAGAUCAAAAAUGGAACCUGGUAUUGGACCACUCAAGUUGUUUGAUGACAAAUCAAGCCUAGUAAGGUUCACAAGAUUAAAAAUGGAAUUUGGUAUUGGACCACCAAUGUUAUUAUAACUCAAAUCAACCUCUUGGAUGGAACUAGGCUUCUGAAUUUGAUCAAUCGGACCAACUAGUUUGUUAUAACGGAGGUCCAAGAGUGGAAGAGAUUGCAGAGUAAACAGCCAAGAUGGAACUGUUGGAUAAAUGGCAGCAGCAAAACAAAACAAAGAUGAAAAUGACCAAGAACAGAAAGUAACAGAUGAAGCAAAAAAUCAAUCUUCUCAUUGAAACUUUGAAAUAUAUGAUGUUACAAAAAUAGUAUGAUAGUUACCUAACAUUUUGUAACUGCUCCCAUCAGUUUUAGUAACUUGCAAUACAAAAUAAUACAAAUUAAAGAGCUGAAUAAUUUAGCCUUUACAUCUAUCAAAUUCAAAUCCUAACAACUCUAAAAGCUAGUUGCAUUUAGCUUGAAUAGCAUUACAAAAUAAAUAAAUAAAGUAAACAAAAGAAACAAGCUGCUUCUGGUCCUGCUCGAAUGUUGGUCUUCUGCAGCUGCUAGUCUGCUUUCUGGCCUUUUGUUGCAUUCCAGUCCAUGUUCAACACUCCUCCUUGGACUGUAGGCAACAAACACCAACCGAAUCUCUAAGAAAUUCAAACCUCAUAGCACCAAGAGGCUUUGUGAGAAUGUCAGCCAAUUGGUCUUGUGAGCUACAAUGUGCAAGACUUACAUCCUUUGAUUGCACUACUUCUCGAACAAAAUAGAAUUUAAGUUUAAAAUUUUUUGUUUUUCCAUGAAAAACUACAUUCUUGGAGAUAGCUACUGCUGACUAAUUAUCAACCAUAAUCUCAGUAGGUUCAAAUUGCUCCUCAUUCAAAUCACACAACAAUUUUCUAAGCCAGAUUGUCUGACUUACUACUCCAGCUGCUGCUAUGUACUCUGCCUCAGUAGUUGAUUGAGCAACAGUUUGUUGUUUUUUAGAGCUCAAACAAAAAGCUCCCGAACCAAGUGAAAAAAGGUAGCCUGAGGUACUCCUUAUAUCAUCAAUCGAACCUCCCCAGUCACUGUCUGAGUAGCCAGUUAACUUCAGCUUACUCCCUGACUUGAGCAUCACUCCAAACUUCAAGGUUCCUUUGACAUACCUGAGGAUUCUCUUUGCUGCCUUUAAAUGUGAUGUGUUGCAGCUAUGCAUGAAACGAGAUAGCAAACUAACCGAGUGCAUAAGAUCAGGUCUAGUUACUGUUAAGUAUAGCAAACAUCCAAUUAAACUUCUAUACUCCCUUUCAUCCACUUUUUCUUUAUUUCCAAAGCUGCUCAACUUUUGUCCCAUGACCAGAGGUAUACUCACUGGCUUACAAUUUUCCAUGUGGAAUUUAGUGAGUAUUUUUUAGGCAAAUGCAUAUUGACUAAUGAAAAUCCCUUGAUCAAUCUGACUUACUUCCAUACCAAGGAAAUAGCUCAUAGUUCCCAAGUCUGUCAUAUCGAACAUGACUUGCAUUUUCUCUUUGAACUCUUGGAUCAGUUCAAUUUUACUUUCACUCACCAACGAACCAUCCACAUAUAUUGAAACUAUCAACAGUGUCUCAUCUUUAGACUUUUUCACAAACAAAGUUAGUUCACUCAAACUUUUCUCAAAGCUGAGUUUAGACAGAUAUUCAUCAAUUCUAUCAUACCAGGCUCAAGGAGCUUAUUUCAAACCAUAAAGUGCCUUCUUCAGCCUAUAAACCUUGUCCUUCUUUCCUUGAACUUUAAAUUCAUCAGGCUGUUCAACAUAAAUCUCCUCUUUAAGAAAGCUAUUUAAGAAGGCUGACUUGACAUCAAGCUGGUGGACCUUCCACUGUUUCUGUGCAGCCAAGGCAAACAGCAACUUUAUAUGUCUAGCCUUGCUACUGGAGCAAAAGUUUCCUCAAAGUCAAUGCCAAACUGUUGACUAUACCCUUUCACCACAAGCCUAGCCUUAUGUUUAUUUAAAGAGCCAUCUGUAUUGAACUUAGCCUUGUAAACCCACUUGACACCAAUGACUUUCUUCUAUUCUGGUCUGUCCACUAGAUCCCAAGUGUCAUUCUUGUGGAUCAUAUCAAUUUCAGCCUCCAUAGCUUUCUUCUAGCUCUUGCUUCUAGUAGCCUCUUCAUAGUUUAUGGGUUCAGUAAUGGUUACAUUGCAUCUCUGAUAGAUAUCAACAAUGAACCUUGUCCCUCUCACAGGAGUAUCAUCAACAUUGGCAUUACUGGCUUCACUUUCUGCCAAUUCUAGAUUACUGUCAUCUUUCUCUUCUUCAAACUGAAUUAUAUCUGAACCAUCAAAGUCCCAAAACCUCGUUUCAUCAAAUUUAAUAUCCCUACUUACCAAAAUUUUCUUGGUCGAGGGAAUAAAUAUCCUGUAGCCCUUCUUAUAGCUACUGUAGCCAACAAAUAUACCAGCAAUUGACCUCUUUUCAAGUUUGGUCCUUCUUUCUGCUGUUACAAGUACAUAACAUAUGCAGCCAAACAAUUUUAAGUGUGAAACAACAUGUUUGAAACCAUACCAUGCUUCAAAAGGGGUCUUGUCCUUCACAGCAUGUGUUGGCAGCCUAUUGAGCAAAUAUACUGAAGUAUUGACACCUUCAGCCCAAAAGAUACCUGGAAGCCUGCUUUGGAACAACAAACACCUGGUCAUGUUCAUUAUUGUCCUGUACUUUCUCUCACUCACUCCAUUUUGUUGAGGAGUGUACACUGUGGUCAGCUGAUGAUGGAUUUCAACUUGCUCACAUAGCUUCUGAAAUCUUUCAGACAAGUAUUCUGAACUAUUGUCUGUCCUUAAGGCCUUAAUCUUGCAGCCUAUUUGAUUUUCUGCCUAAGCCUUAAACUUUGCAAACAUUUCAAACACCUCUAACUUCUGUUUCAUAAAAUAAAUCGAGCAAAAUCUGGUCAAAUCAUCAAUAAACGGUAUAAAAUACUUACUGUCAUUCAAAGAAGGUGUCUUCAUUAGUCCACAGACAUCUGAAUGCACCAGCUCAAGUCUGUCUCGAGCCCUCCAUGCCUGGUUUGCUGGAAAAGGCAACCUAGCCUGUUUACCAAGCUGACACACCUCACAAACUGAUUCACUUGCAUUAACCUUAACCAUGUCCUCUGUCAUACUCAUUUUGUGCAACAAAUCGAGUGACUUGAGACUAACAUGGCCAAACCUCUUGUGCCAAAGAUCAGUAAUAUCAACUGAGCUUGUAUAGGCACUAUUCUCAAGCUGACUCACAUCCAGCAUGAAACAUUUAUCUGUCAUAGGUGCUGAGACUAUCUUCCUACCAUGAGGAUCAAUUAUAACACAAGAAUCAUUCUUGAAAACUAGUGAAUAACCUUUCUUGACUAACUGGCCUACACUAAGCAGGUUCUGAUCAAUUUCAGGCACAUAAAUCACAUCUAAGAUAACUUUGUUACCUGAUCCAGUGUUGAUCACAACAUUACCUCUGCCCUUUGCUUCAAUCAAGUUGUCAUUGCCUAUCCUAACUUUCGAGACAUAACUCUUGUCAAGAUUCUUGAACAAGCUCUCAUCAGCAGCCAUGUGGUGUGAGCAACCAUUGUCCACAAGCCAACUACAUUUGCUGUUGACUGCAAAACAUGAAGCAGUGGACACAUGCUCCUCCUAAGCUUGCAUAUCCUCAGCAGUCUUGGCUUGUACUAGCUGAGCUUGUGCCUUGUCAUGAUUUCUACAAAUCUUCUCAUGAUGGCCAUAAUGCUUACAGUUCUUGCACUGGAUGUCUGGUCUGGUCCAGCAAAAUUUCUCCAAAUGAUUGGUCUUUUUGCAGUGAAUGCAUUGUGGAAACCUCCUUCUGCCUGCUUCUCUGUUUACUUCUUUCUUGGCUUUAUCCUUUCUUUCAAACCAAGGUUUCUUAGCUCUCUGAUUUGAGCUAGAACCUACUAUGGCUUUUGCUUGAAAGGCUCCUUCAGGGUUCUCCUCCUGUCUGCUAGCCCUUCUCUGCUCGAGUGCAUAAAGAGAAUUAACCAAUUCAGACAAGAAAAUGGUUGUGAGGUCCCUCGAGUCCUCCAGUGAGGAGAUUUUUUAUUCAAACCUCUCUGAAAGAGUGGUAACCACCUUCACAACCACUCUACUGUCACUAAAAUCCUCUCCUAGGAGUCUUAUGUUAUUGACAGUAGUCAUUAUCCUGUCAGAAUACUGUUUAAUAGUUUCUGACUCCUUCAUUUUUAAGUUUUUAAACUCUCUUCUCAGGUUGAUGAUUUGUUGCUGCCUGGUCUUGUCUAAUCCCAUAAACUUCUCUUUCAACCUGUCCCAUGCCUGCUUAGGAGAAUCACAGGCCAUGAUGCGAGUAAAGAUAACAUCAGACACACCAUUCUGCAGACAGGCCAUGGCUUUGUGCUUCUUGGCUCGUUCCUCACCAUGUUGCCUGAUCUGAGCAAUGGUAGGAUUUGCUCUUAAUGGUGGUGGCUCGACAUCACUUUCAACUGCACUCCAGAGGUCAAGUGCUUGGAGAUAUGUCUUCAUCUUGACUAUCCAAAUGUUUUUGAAAACUAAAACUUAAACAACAGAGGUCCUCAAAGAUAAGAGGCUCUGAUUACCAUUUGUUGGAUAAAUGGCAGCAGCAAAACAAAACAAAGAUGAAAAUGACCAAGAACAGAAAGUAACCGAUGAAGCAAAAAAUCAAUCUUCUCAUUGAAACUUUGAAAUAUAUGAUGUUACAAAAAUAGUAUGACAGUUACCUAACAUUUGUAACUGCUCCCAUCAGUUUUAGUAACUUGCAAUACAAAAUAAUACAAAUUAAAGAGCUGAAUAAUUCAGCCUUUACAUCUAUCAAAUUCAAAUCCUAACAACUCUAAAAGCUAGUUGCAUUUAGCUUGAAUAGCAUUACAAAAAUAAACAAAAAGUAAACAAAAGAAACAAGCUGCUUCUAGUCCUGCUCGAAUGCUGGUCUGCUGCAGCUGCUAGUCUGCUUUCUGGCCUUUUGUUGCAUUGCAGUCCAUGUUCAACAGGAACUCCACUUAUAGAGUUAUUAAAUAACCGAAGUUUCUCUAGAAAUUGAAGCCCACUAACAUAAUUUGGAAAGGGACCUUCCAAGUGGUUUUUUGACAAAUCCAAAUAGGUAAUUUUUGUGAGGUUGAAGAUAGUUGUCGGAAGUGGACUACUCAAAUUGCAUGAAGAAAAGCUCAAAGAAAUUAAUUUUCUAAGGUCUCUAAAAACAUCUGGAAUCUGUCCUUCAAGCGAAUUUCCUUGUAAAUAAACGGAAAUGAUUUUAGUGAGAUUUCCAAAUGUUGCUGGAAUUGGCCCCCUAAAACCACAAUGGGAAAGGUCCAACAACUCAAGGCCACUACUGCAGUCUGUGUUAGGGAGAUAACCUGUGAGAUUUCAUUCUCACUUAAAUCUAAAUUUUUGAGGUUUGGAAGCUGAGAAACUUGAGUUGGAAAUUCCCCAUGUAAUUGACAAUGUGAGAGACUCAAAUGUUCAAGGGACGAAGACAAGUUUAGAAAGGAAGUAAGUGCAACAUCAGACAUAUCUACAUAGUCAAGCACAAGGUUUAUUAAUUUUGUCAAGUUUCUUGCAAGCAAGUCGAAACCUUGGCCAUCAAAUCUCAAUUCAGAAUUGGAAACAUCAAGUGAAACCAAACUUGACAAGACACUGAUUUGAUGCGAGAUUAAGCCAGAGAAGGCAUUAUCAGAAAGAUUAAGAUGGGUUAAACUCACCAACUGACUAAAUAACUUUGAUGAAAUGGUGCCAUCGAAACCAUUCCCAGCAAGGUUGAGUCGUCGUAGUCCAUGAAAAUGAAACAAGCUGCGAGUGCUCUCAAUAAGAGAGCCUUCGAGGUAGUUGUAGCUCAAGUCAAGCCAUUGGAGGUUUUGAAGUUGAAAGAGGUCGUUGUUUGCAAAGAGAGAACCAACAAGGCAACUCUGACUAAGAUCGAUGCCGAUUACAUGACCAGUCACGUGGUCGCAUUUCACUCCCUCCCAUGAACAACAAUCAAUGCUUUUGUUCAAUGACUCUGUCUAUCCUGGGGUAAGGAUCUUUAUUAUCACCAUCAGGGUUCAAAUCACAAUCAACAGACAUGGUGGUUUUAAAAUGGAGCAAAGCAUCUCUUUGAUGUGGGAGACAUAAAUGAGAGGAUGGAGGAGGAACAGAGGAACACAAAGUCCAUGAAAGUUGCAAGACCACCAAAACCAGGCAAAGGCUUCCCAUAUUUUUUUUUUCUCCAAAAAGGAAACAAGUACAAAGUUAAGAAACAAAGGGGUAUGAAUCAUAACAACAACCAAGUCCUUAAUUGAAUUACAAAAUAAUUUAUCAUAUUUUAAAAUACUUUUAUACUUUUUUUAUUAAUUUGAUAUUUAAAAACUUGUGGUCUAAUAAUGUCACUAGUUCUGUACCCUUUGAAUUUUUGAAAUUUAGUCCCUAUAUUUUUAAUUCUAAAAAUUCAGUCUUUCUACUUGUUUGAUUUGAAAUUAAAGUCUGUUUGAUAAUAUUGUAAAUUUAUUUAUUUUAAUUUUUAAUUUGUUAUAAUUUAUACUUUAACUUUUACAUCAAACCUUUAAAAACUAAAAUAUCGGUAAUUCAUUAAUAAUGGAAUCCAAGUUUAAAAACUUAGCGCUCAUUUUUCAACUUAGUUAAUACUUCAAUUACUAUCAGUAUUAAUCAUAAUUACACAACACGCACGAAUACAAAUUUAGAAAUUAUGAUGAAGACACAGCCACUCAUAUCAUCUCCUAACUUUAUUUAUUCUAAUCUCUUCUAACGAAACUGAACAUGCUUAAUCACUCAACCGUACAAGAAAAUAUUCACCAAUGUACAAGAAUAGUCACUCAAUUCAUUUUAUUUUGAUAACUUAACUAUUAAUUUUUUCGAUUUAAUCACUCAAUUUUUCUUAAUUAAAUAUUUUAGUCACUCUUUCUUUUCACUUACUAACAAAGUCUAAUAUGGGCUUUUUCUAUUAUCUAAUAACAGAUUUAACUUUAUUAAUAUUUUUAUUUAAAAAAACAUUAUUCAUAAAUUGUAAAAAGGAUUAUCCAUGUAUAAAAUUUAAUAUGAUUAAAUUAACCAUUAUAUUUUAUAAAAAGAUCAUGCUUCAAUUACAAUAAAUAUUAACCAUGAAAAAUCGAAAUCAUAUAUACUUAAAGCACUAUAGAGUGAACAUAAAGAAAAAAAAAAGUCUUGAUUGUACCAUUCAAGUCUAUCCCAUUUUAGUUGUCAAUACGACUUGCAUAUUUUUUUUUUAUUUUUCGUUUUUUGAAGAACAGCCACGAACUUUGAACACGAAUCAUAAAACGGAUAUAGAAUUAAACCAUUAAACCUAAUUUAACAAUAAAUUAUUGUAUUUCAUAAAUAAUUUUACACUUUUUUAUUCAAUUUUAAAUAUUCAUAGUUUUAAGAUUUAUAUUUAGUUAUAAACAUUAUUUUCUUUUAUUGUCCAAUGAACACAUCAAAAAUUAAAGGUAUACUUUUAUGUGAAUAGAGAGAAUGGCAGUGGCUGUAUUAUCAAUGUGGAUAGAGAGAUAUGAGAAAGGGAUUGGUAUUAGACAGCUGAGUUGUAACUCGUGGGCGAAGAUGGAAUAUUGAAUGGCAUACCAUAGUUACAAAAAUCCAUAGUUCAGAAAAACCACGUGAAUAGAGCGAAUGGCAGUGGCUGUAUUUUCAUGUGUAAAUCCUGUGGUGGUAUACCAAAGCCAUUGCAUCAAUAAUCAAGUCCAUAAAUACGAAAAUGACCACGGUAUUCGUCAAUUUCAUCUCUAAUCUUUUCGUUCUUAAUUGUAGCACAAAAGUCUAUCUUAUUUUAGACAUUAGGACUUACAUUUUUUUUUUUGAUUUCCCAUUUCAUUGUCUACUUUUCAUUUUGUACCAAAAAAUAAGGCUUUUUUUAUAAAAAUUAUAUUAAAAAAUUAAUUAAUUACAAAAAUGAGGUGGGAACAAAUUAAUUAUGAAAAUGAUGCGUUUGUUACAGUGCUCCUCAAUGUCGUUUGACACACCGGCGGCACCACCCCACUUUUCAUCCAAUCAUGCAACAAUCAAUAAGGUUUUAAAAAAUAAUUUUUUUGUGCCGCCACUGUGUCAAGUAGCACUGGUAUGUAUUUGUAAAAAAAAAAAGCCGUGAAAAUAUGAGUAUACACGAUGAAAGAAAAAAACAAAAAAAAAAUUAUUGGUGCCUCCCAUGUGUAUCAAGUGGAAUCACGUUAAUUUAAAAAACCCAGUUAGAAAAAAAAAGCUUAAUAACAAUUUAUCGUUUUUAAAAUAUUUUUACACGUUUCUAUUUAUUUGAUAUUUAGAAUUUUAGGUAUAAUAAUGCCCCUAGUCCUUGUACACUUUUUUUUUUAAUUUAGCCUCUCUACUUUUAAUUUCUAGAAGUUAAUCAUCUACUUGUAUGAUUUAAAAAUAAUAGUCCAAUUGUAACAAUGUUAAUUUAUUUCUAUUAAAUUUGAAUAUAUUAUUAAUUGGACUUUGAUUUUUAAAUCAAAUUAAUAGAAGUUCAUUAAUAGUGUUGUUAAUUGGACUUUAAUUUUCAAGUUAGAAAAAUGAAGGUACAAAAUUUUAAAAGUCUAAAGAAUACAAGGAGUGGGGUGUAAUUAAAGUAAAAAUCUAAUAUAAUUUUCGCCCUUAUUUUUUUAUUAUUAAAAAUGAUUAUAGGUAUUUUUUUCCUCAAACCCCAAAUUAAUUAUAUCCAUUUGGUUGAAUGAAAUACAAGCAUCCAAUGGAGUUGUAAAUUGGUAUACAAGCUCAAUGGAAGCCUUUCUUCUAAAACCCAUUUCCAUGCUUACAAUAAAAUUCCAUUUCUUAUAAAAUCCAUUGCCAUCCAAAGGGUUUUUUUUUUAAAAUGAAAUUCCCCUUCAUCCGAAUUGAUGAUACACCAAUCAAUUCUUAAUCCAAGGUCCAGUUCCAAACAACAACAGAUGAAUCUAAGUGAAAAAAAAAAUACUACGAAAAUUAUGUGGACUUCAAUUAAACAGCUACCAUUGCAGCCACUGUUGCUUGCAAUGGGUAGGGAGGGGAUGACCGGAGAGAAUAGAUCCAAAAGAGCUGACAAAUAAACUACCGGCAAAUCCACCACCAAGGAGGGGCCAAAGCCUAGGACAGAGUCACCAAGACCGUCGACUCCCCUCAAUGGCUGUAGAUCCAAUAUCUUCAAGAGGGCAUCAACAACCAACCUGUGACGGUUCGAUGCAACUCAAUCAACAUCACCAUGCUCAAGCCUUCAAGGCCAAACAGCAACGGUGCACUGCCUUGUGCAGUGUCCUUGCCAAGCAUUUAAAACAAAAGCCGAGAAAACCAGAAUCAAUCCAACCAUCCCUUUAUUCGAAUUGAUAUACCAGUCAAUUCUCAAUCCAUUCUCAAUCCAAUCGACAGAUCUGAUUCCACCAACAACAGAUGAAUCUAAGUGCAAAGAAAACAUACCAUGAAAAAUAUGUGGAGAAUUUCAAUUAAACAGCUACCAUUGCAGGCAAGCUAUAUACUAUUUUUUUAUCUAAACAGUAGUGGCACACUUAAACCAUUUAUCAGCGAAGCGAUUUGCUCCUUAACAAUCUUAUGUCCCCUUACAUAAAAUUCCAAUAAAAUAGCAGUGGCUAACAACAGAUGACAGAAUACAGUUACAGUUGCAGUCUAAUAAUAAAUUUCAUCAAAACCCAAAGUUUAAAUGAAACCAAACUCAAACCCUCGCUACCGAUCUUUGAGUUCCUGCUCGAAUUGAAGCAAUUUCUCCCGGACGGGCUGCAAAAACCGCUUCUUCAAGUCCUGGAUAAUCUGCUGCUUGUCUUGCUGCACGAAAUCCUUUUCUUCACUAAGCUGUACUGCCAUCUAUAAUUAUCCAAAACGGAAAAGUUUUAGUUAGUUUCAGUCAUUUCUGCCAAGUUCUAUUAUGGUUCUAAAAAGUCGAUAGAUUACCAAUGCCUAUUUGCCUAACAUAUAACCAUGGAAUGAAAACAAUUGCCCUCCCCUAAGAUUGGUUUUAGGGUUCAAAAUAUCAUGUUCUCUCCUAAACCUACACCUACAAAUCAAGUAUUCUUAUUGCAUUCUAGUCAUAAUCGUGAUAUAUUUAUACUACAUAUUUUAUCAUGUUAACAGUUCGUAUUAUAUAGCUAUUGACGCAUUCCUAUAUUUAUAUAAAGUUCAUGUUAUUGUUUAUAGGUUAAAAUAUGCCAUAACUCUUUGUGAUCUUCACAAAUUUGGAAUCUAGUCCUUAUACUUUUAUUUUCAAAAAAUUAAUCAUCUACUUUUCAGAUUUCAAAAUUCAGGUCCAAUAAUUAACUCUAUUUUUCUUUGUUAAAUUUGACAAUGAGACAUUUUGAAAAAAAACUCGCUUGGUAGUCAAGUAACUAAGACAAUGACUACCAAGUAACCAAGACAAUGACGUUGUAAUGAACCUGAAUUUAACAAAACAAUUUUAGCAAUGUUAACAGUUGGACCUGAAUUUUGAAUUCUGAAAAGUACAACUAAAUUCCUAAAAAUAUAAGUACAGGGACUAAAUUCCAAAUCUACAAAGAGUAGAGGGACUUAUGGCAUAUUUUAACCUUGUUUAUAUUAUGUUGGGGUUUUAAUUGUAUUCUACUUUUCUUCAAAUCAUGUGUAGUAUCCAAAUAUUUUAAGUGUACCUAAAACAGUAAAUUCUAUCAGUUAGAAUUAAUAUUUGGUCAAAUUUUUUUUCAAAUUCAAUAGUAUAUUCUACUGGUUUAUUGUUUCAAUUUCUCUCAUUAAUUCCCACCAUUAUGCUUCACACUAUUUUGUUCCAACCUCCUUUUCUACAAUAAAACAACCACAGCAACACCAAUUCUUUGGUUUAUUAGUUUAUGCCAUAUAUGUCACUUGGCAAUUUCAUGUAAGAGACAUAUUCUACAGUAAACACUAUCCUAGCACUGGCAGUCAUUGAAUUUAUAACAAAGGCCUAUCCAUCAUAACAUGUCAUAGAAUUUAUACCAUAGGCCCAUGCAUUAUAACAUGUUUGCAUUUACGUAUACCAAGAUCUAUUCAACAAGUUUAUCCUCUAUCUCUUCUAAACCAAAUAGUUAUCUCUCAAUUCAAGCAUACCUGCAAAUCAUCGAGCUCACCAAAUGAAAAUUCUGGGAUAUCAAUAUGGCCCUUAACCGUCUUAUUCUCCUCCCGUAGAUGCCACUCCCCUGAUUUCCAUUUAGAUCCCAAUUUGAUCAACAAAGUGAUAAAUAAGCUUAGAAAGCAAAAGCAUAACACCAUAUUUAGACCCACUUACCCUUGAUUUUUAAUGUCAACUCAUACGUAUAGCCAACACGCUUCUUGUUUCGUACAGUCACCAAAAAAGCCUGCUCAAACAAGAAAAAUCCACCAUAAAAUAAGGUUAAUAUCUAUGUAUACAGCCAUAGCUAUAGUUUAGUUAAGCUUACAUCAAUGGAGUCAAAUAACAUUAUAAGACAAAAACACAAAUAGAAGUAAGAAAAAUAACUCACAUCGCCAACACACUUGGUUACCUCAGAAAUUUCAGCCUUGCCACAAGAUAAAUCCAAUGAACCCACAGAUUUAAGCAAUUCCUGGAAAAUAAAACUGGGUUCUUCAGUACAUCUCAAGCUUUUAAACAUACGUAUUGUUGAGGGGAAGUUGGCCUCAGACCUUCAACGAAAGGUAUUGUCUUCCUAACUCUAUGAAGCCCUUUGGGCUCUCCUUGGAUUACAGGAGACAGAACUCCACCACAGGACAAUACCUUCCGUUGAGGGUCCGAGACCAACCUCCCCUCAACACAUAUACAUUAUGUAUAUCAAAAAUCAGGGUUUUGCAUAUAGACCUUUAAUCUUUGAGUAGCCCAGUUAUUAAGGUUUUUCUCCUCCCAAGUUCCAGCCUAUGGUGAACAAGGACCAAAAAAACAUUAAACGAAAUCAUUGAAAUGUACGAAAAUCUGAAAUACCCAUUAAUAAAACCCUAGAUCAGAUCACAAACAUGAGCAUAGAAAAUGCAAAUUUUUUUAAAAAAAAUAAAAAAAUAAGGCAUUACCUUAUUCCAAACAGAACCAAUAGAUGUAGACUGAGAUUGAGUUGAAAGGAUGUCUUGAGCAGUGAGCUUCUUAGGAACAGGGAGCGGAGCAGCGUCCGCCGUCGUUUCUCUCACCCAAUAAGUAUACGACGCCGCCUGCCCAUUGCCGUUGCCGUCGCCGUGGGCGUGGGCGUUCUCUACUCCUCCAUUCUCCAUCUCUUUAUAUGCCAAUUGUAUGGAUCCAAUUUAAUUGAAGAUUUGCUGGAUGGAAGGAUGAAUCAGAGAAUGGAGAAGAAGGGAAGAUUUAUUUAUUAUUUAAGAUUCAUUCAAAUUAGGAUUUUCUGGAAGCUUCUUCCAAUAUUAUGGCUUUUUAAGUUGAAACCUAGAGUCUUCCUCUUGCUUUUAUUUAUUUUUAUGGAAAAUCUCACCAUUCUUAUUUUUAGGGGAAACUAUUUUUAUACUAUAUUUUCUAACACCCACAACGUGGGUGAAAAGGAAACAAAAUCGAUUAAUAAAAAUAAAUAGAAAAUCUUUUAAGUGAGGAUAGCUUUUACAAUUUAUUGGUUAAAUAUUUUAUUAGGAGAAAUAGGGGUUUGUUUUAGAUUAAAGAAAUUGAAAUUCCUAUGUAAUUUUAUGUUUUUUCAUAAAAGUGAAAUUCCAACUACAAACUAGGCGUGUUCAUUCGGUUAACCGACCCGAAAUAACAUUAACCGAAUUAACCGACCUUUCAAAAAUUUUAACCGUUAACCGAACCGAAAUUUUUUCAAAAAAAAUUUAACCGAACGAAAUUUUUCGGUUAAUUCGGUCGGUUAACCGAAUUAACCGAAAAUUAUAUGUUUUUUAUUUUUGGUUAAGAAUUAACCGAAUUACCCGAAUUAACCGAAUUACCCGAAUUACCCGAAUUAACCGAAUUGAAUCACUACAUAAUUAAAUUAUUUUUAGACUUUAGUUUUAGUUUUAGAAUUUUAUUUUUAUUUUUAUUUAUUAAAUUUUUUGUAAUUUUUAUGAUUAGGUUGGGUAAUUGGGUUGACUUAAAUACUUGGGUUUGGAUUAGGUUUAGGUGAAUAGUGAGCCUAUUUAUAUAUUAUAAUUUUAUUUAUUAAUUUUUUCGGUUAAACUAAAAAAAUUGGUUAACCGGCCGGUUUCGAACCGAAUUAACCGUUAACCGAAAAAUAAAAAAAAUAAUUAACCGACCCCCGACCGAAAAAAUUCGGUUAACCGACCGAUUAACCGAAUUCGGUCGAUUAACCGAAUUUUUUCGGUUUUACCCGAAUUUUGCACACCCCUACUACAAACCCAAUCAGAUUUCAUUAUCAAUUAUGCCAAUUCAACAUCGAAUUAUAAAAUUUGGCUAAUUACAAAAAAUAACUAUAAAUCAGAAAAAUUAACUUGAUUUGAAUAAUUACAAUUUUCACCUUAAAUCGAAAGAAAAUACCCAUUUAAUUAGCUUAAACUUACAUCCAAUUAAAGAAUUAUAUGCGAAUUGAGGAACAUUGAAUUGAUUUUCUCUCUUAAUUUUAAGGAAGCUAAAAAACAUAUUUAUUAAAUUCUCCAAUAGAUUUGUUUUAUGUGAUAUCAAUCUCAAAAAAUAUUAGUAUAAAUAUUUUCAUAACAAAUAUCAUUUGUUCCAAUUCUAUACGUAAAACUUUAAAUUUAUACAAACAAUACAUAAUGCAAAAUAUGCAAUCUAAUAAUAUAAAAAAAAAAUUAAUGUCUUGUAAUUUUUAUAGUACAUUUUUAUUAAUUUUUCGAAAUUAAUUCAUCCAAUGCUUGAGAUAUAUUUAUUACAUAUUUCAAAAAAAAUCAAUUCUUUCUAUUUUAUUUCAUUUUUAUAUUAUCUUAAAAUAAAGAAAAGACAUUCAUAUCUAUUUUCAUUUUACGGUCCAUAAAUAUUAAUAUUUUUGAAAUUUAUAAUUGCCCUCACAACAAUAUUAAGAUUUGAACCUAAAUUCUUUUGAUGGUACAUAAUUUUGUUUAAUGUGUGCCAAAAAUGAAUUCUAAAUCGAGCUACAACUCAAAUCGAUUUUUUAUUUUUUAUUUUUUUUUCCUUAACCCUAAAAGCAAGUUGAGGAAAUCUCAUUCUACCAACCAACCAUAUCGUUGAAAUUGAAUGAAGAAGCAGACACUAUUGACUUUUCAACUUUGAAUUUCAUGUCAAACUUUGCCUUCAAUGCUCAAAACAAAGACCUAACACUAAAUGCUCCCACAAUUUUCGGAUUUUUAAACAUCAUCCAUCACCAAUAACCAAUCACUACAAUUUGGUCAUCUAAUCUCAAUCUUCAGAUCAAUAUACCCUUUAAGAACAGUACAACAAAACCUAACAACUACAUCAAAAUUCAGUUUUCUUAAUAUAGGACCUCCAUGGUACUUUUACAGAUAAAUAGAAGAGGUAUGAAAUAUAAUUUUCCCAUUACAUCAAAGUUCAAACCUCAACUUGAAAUCCCAUUAUUAUUUUCUUUUAUUUGUUUUUGCUUGAAGGCAAUCAGACCUAGAAAGCUCAAAAUAAUAAUAGUAAUGAUAACAGACAAUGCAUGUAUGGAGUGAGGGAUAUUAUCAGCAGAAGAUAAUUGAAUGCUAAACAGCUUACUUGAAAUCCCACCUCGUCUCGGCUUGUUUCAUCUCAUCAGGUCAGGUAGCAGCAGACAAGGGUUGAAUGGCAGCAAGCGGAUUAACUUGGUAUGAAAAUGCAAGUUCCCAUAAGUCUACCAAACACUUCUUCACAAACAAAGCUUGUCUCUUAACAAUCCUAUAAACAACAACAAAUAUAUAUCAUAUACAAAUAUACAUGUAUUCAUUCAUUGUCAAUAGAAUAUAUAUAUACACAUUUCCCUUUCUCUACCAGAAAGGCAUUCAUGAAUUUCUAACCUAGGACCGUAAUUAAGAACAUUAAGUAUGCUUCAACAAUUGAAAGUUAUGAACAAAUAUUUCAGGGUAAAAGAACAAGAAGACAAUCUUACCUCUGUAAAGAAAUUCCUCUCCUUCGAAGGAUGUAGUAUACGAGAAGGACCAGACAGCCAAUCAAGAUUUUACCAUUUGAUAUGACCACCCGAUGAUUACCGAACUUCAAAGUGAUAUUAGAAAACCAAGAUAGAAAGCCGUGGGGUUGUCCGUACAGUUUCAAAUUUGCCUGCUUUGAAUCUCUCUCUCCAUUAAGCAGGCUGCUGGUCUUUAAGCCUUUUGGUGUCCCCUCAGGCACAUUUGGACCCUUAUUGGAAGAAUGAGAUUCAUGGUUUGCCAGAGGCAAAUGUGACGAGGAGCCUUGUGGUAAAUGAGUUACCUUUGUGGAAUAUAGGGAGUGCAAUCUUCUCAAAAGGUCCUAGAAUAAUACAUGUAAAGAUGGUAAGUUGGUGCAAUACUCGUAUAUUCCAAGAGAAAACAAAAAUUAUUCCCUCAUAAUUAAUAAAAUCAAGCACCACCAACACCAUGACAAGCAAAGUACAAGAAAAUAAAUUGUUCUAAAGCUUGUCUGGUGUGAAAUUGCAUGAUGUGAGAAAGAACCUCCUUGCAGAUGCAAAUCUAUAAGUAGUCCAGCCUAUGAAAUAGAUUGCAUUUCAAAGGAACAAAAGAUACAUGCAUAUAAAUAGUUGUAUGAGCUAGGAACCUAAUGAUUCAAUUAGGAAAUGCCCAAAUUUGACUUAAAGCAAAGCCUAACUAAACAAUGAAAAAAUGUUCAAGACACUGGACUUAAUUUUGCAAUUUCAAGAAGACAAGAAAUUUUCAAUGUACACGACUCUUAAAACAAGAAAAAAAAAACGAUCUUGAAACUUAAACCUAGAAGUUAGGACUGAAAAACAACAAAUAAAGCCUAUUCAAGCACCCAACUAAGAUACUCAGCAGUGGAAAUGUGCUAAGUUACAGUCUGGGCAUGAGGACCGACCUUAGCACACCAUUUAAUGUUAAGCAUGAACCUAAAACCAAUCAACAAUAUAUGGAAAGGCAGAACCUAAAGAUAAGGCCAUAGCAAAUCCGAAACUUAGCCAAUGUGAGAUAACAUAAUUUAAAAAUUCCCUCUUUCUCGUAGGCCCAUUAUUAACAACUAAACAACUAAGCAUAAGACUUGGCAUCAAUAAAUAAGGUAACAAAGAACUAGGGCUCUAAUACCAUGUUAAGCGCAAAAGGCCACUAGCUAAUUCUAAAUUAACUGAUGCACCGUUGUACUUAACACAGUGUAAAGCUCUUCUCAACAGUGCUCCACCAUCAACACAAAUCAUGCUGAAUUUCAACUACCAAAAAUUUGUAAACAGCUAGAUGAAGUAUAUUUAUGUACACAAAAGGCGCAGACUCAAUCUAACAGUGUACUAAGACAUUUCUACUUAAGCAUAUAUUACCUGUCGGUUUUUCUCUGGCAAAGCAGUUUGCUCAACCCAAGAGAUUGCAAGAUCGACAUCACUGGAAACUGUUCCCAGAAGCAUGACAGCAUACAAGUCAACAACUUCAAUAUACUUAUCAACUCCCAAGACAGUAUAGCUAUCACUUCCACCCUUGAAAUUCGUACUUGUUUCAGCACUAGCAAGAACAUAGUAUUGUUCAUCCACAUAUCUCCACUUGCUAAGAAACUCCUCAAGAAACUCUUUGGCGCCUAAAGCUGAAGCUUCUGAUAUUUGGAAACAUACCCUGAAGAUUCAAUAACGGAAGGAAUUUUAGUACCAUUGUCCUAGAUGUUCAGAUGCCUAUCCCAAGGAAAAAUGUUAUUGUAGCAUUGAAAGUAGAUCUUAUAUAAUAUAAUACGGGUAAGCGUGGAUAUACAACUUCCAUUCAGAAACGAGACCUCAGCAACACUAGCCUCAGAAAAUAAGAAAGAAGGGACGAAAGCUAUACACCCAUCAGGCAGUAAUAGUAAAACAAAAAAAGUUGGAGAUAAAAGAAAAGGGAUAAAAUUAAACAUUUUUGGCCUCCAAUGAAGCUGGAUUCAGAAUGGGAUAAAAAGUUGGAAGCAGUAUAUAAAACAAAAAUAAGAAUUGUUUUCAGUGAAUAGUUAUGUUAAUCUCUCCAUCAUCCCUAAAUUCAUACAUAGGAAUUGAGGUAUAAUCCUAAAAAUAUAUAUUAAAAAAUAUAGAGCAUAACACAAAUUCAUAGGUAACAUAGAUGAAUAAAAGAAAGAAAGGAUUACCCAGUAAGAAGAACUUGAACAGGGAUUGAUUCAAUUGAAACAAAUAACGUUUUGAGCUCAUUCAGAAUUGUAGAUGUCCUGCAACGAAUAGCAUCAUAAUCAGCUAAAAUAAGCAAAAAGAAAGCUAUAACAUGUUCCUUUUUCAAUUUUCCCCCCUACCAAACAAAGCUAUACCUGGAGAGUUGUUUCAAGGACUGAACCAAGACCAUACCAGCAGCCUCCAUCGCUUCAUACAAAUCAAACUCAGAAUCAUCAUCAAUCGAUACAUUGGGGCUGCCUCUUUGCUUUAUUAUGGAAGAAGCUAAUGAUGCAGCCUCCUCAUACAUGGAGCAAACCAAGAAGCUAUUACAACAAUCAAAACCAAAUUCAUCAGUAGCUUGUCACACAAAAAUAUAUAUUUAAAAACAAAAGUUGUCAAAUUCAUCAUUGAAAUUACCUUUCGGAGCGUUCAAUCUCUGCCCAAAUUGCGUCAGCCAUUUUGGGCGUCUGUUAAAAUUAAGGUAAAAAUGAAGAUAACGCAACGAGCUUUGUAUUCAAUCUAACCCAAAUGUGAAGUUAUCUUCACUCGGAAUCAGAAUUGAUUAAAUUCGAAUAAAUGAUUCAAAUAAACAAAUAAAAACUUAAAAUUAUUGAAAUGAUUCCCUUUUUGCAAUGGUUCAUCCGUUCAUUUUCCUUCCUCAGAUUAUCUUUUAGGGUAAAUUGUACUCAACUCUAAGACUAUUAGUAAAUUUAUACUUUGAUUACUCAAUUUUAAAAAAUUAUAAAUUAGCCAUUGAACUAUUUCAACCGUUAAAUUGCCAACAAAUAUCUAAUGGUUGUUAACGAGCAGCGCCCUGAAUAUUUCCAAAAUCCGCCUUUUUUUAUUUUUUUUAUUUUUCGGUCCAAAAUCAAUCUAUUUCCAUAAAUAUUGAAAAAAAAAACAAUGCAUUUCCCUAAAUAUUUUUUAAAAUCAACAUUGUUUUUCGAAUUUAGCUUUUUCUAACACCCAAAAUAAAAAAAAAUUAUUUUAUGAACCCUUCCUAUUAACACAUAAUUUUAAUAAUUUUUUAUCUUAAAACCUUAAACCUUAAGUCAUGAACUUCGAACCCAAACUAUAAACUCAAAACCUCAAACAUGAACCUUGAACCUGAACUUAAAUAUUAGGGUCCAAUUUGGGGUUCAAGGUCUGAGAUUUAAGUUCAAAUUUGGAGUUUAAGAUUUUAAAUUUAAGGUUCGAGGUUUAUGAUUCGAAGUUUAGGAUUUGAUGUUUAGGAUUUAAGGUUCAUGAUUUGAGUUCAAGACUUAAAGUUAGAGAUUCAAGAUUUAGGAUAAAAAAUUAUCAAAAUUGUGUAAAUAAUAUAAAAAAUUGCUAAAAUAUAGUUUAAUAAUUAGAAAGGAGAUUAUAAAUGAUAUCUUUAUUUUUAUAUUUUAUGUUUUUCCAUAAAAAUGAAAUUCGAACUACGAUCAAUGAUAAUUAAAUUGAAUCAAAAUUCAUUGGAGUAUAUUGUCAGUUUAUUGAUUUUUUUUAUAACAAUGUUUAUGUAAGAUUUUAAAUUGUUUUCACCAUAUUAAAAAUUAAAUAUUUAUUAUAAAUUAUAAAUUAUAAAAAGUUAAAUAUAAAUAUAAAUCCAAAAAAGAAAAACUAGAUUAAUUUGGAUAAUUACAAUUUUCAACUUAAAUCGAAAGAUGAAAUAUAUUUAAUUACACUCAAAAUCUCAACCUCACGUCUAAUUAAAGAAUUAUAAAAUUUUAAGCCCACAGCAACAUCAACGGUGCCAACUGAGGAACAUUGGUUUUUUGCUUGGUCUUAAUUUCUAUUGAAUUCUCUAAUAGUUGUUUUAUGUGAUACCAAUCUCAAAAAUUAUGAACAUAAAUAUUUUCAUAACCAAUAUCAUUUCCGCAUUUGUUAACGGAAUUCCAAUUCUAUAUUCAAAAUGCAAGCUAAUAACAUAGAAUAUAUAUAUUUAAAUUGUCCUGUAAUUUUUAUAGUGCAUUUUUAUUAAUUCUUCCAAUUUAUCCUUGUUACCUAUAUUUCAUUUUUAUAUUAUCUUAAAACAAUGGAAGUACAUCCAUAUCUAUUUUCAUUUUACGGUACGUAAAAAUCAAUAUUUUCGAAGUUCAUAACUACCCUCACAACAAUGUUAAGAUUUAAACCUGAUUUCUCUUUUUAAUGUGUGCCAAAAACAAAAUCUAAAUCGGAACCAAACCAAAAGCUACAACUCAAAUCGAUUUUUGAUUUUCUUGAUUUUUAUCUCAACCCUAAAAGCAAGUUGAGGAAAUCUCAUUCUACCAACCAACCAUAUCAUUCAUUCCCUACAGCAAUUGGAAAGCCUAAAGCAGCUGAAAUUGAAUGAAGAAGCAGACACUAUUGACUUUUCAACUCUGUAUUUCAUGUCAAACUUUGCCUUCAAUGCUCAAAACAAAGACCUAACACUAAAUGCUCCCACAAUUUUCGGAUUUUUAAACAUCACCCAUCAUCCAUCAUCCAUCACACUACAAUUUGGCCAUCUAAUGUCAAUUUUCAGAUCAAUUUACUCUUUAAGAACAGUACAACAAAACCUUACAACUACAAAACUAUAUUUUUCCAUGUCUUCACCAUUUUUGCCACUUUCUCUUCUUUUUAUGAAGCUAUCAUUUCUAGUACAGCUUUGUUGUUGUGAAUGCUAACCUGUGUGAUUAUCGCGGGGGAAAAUUUUUUAGCCCUUUGUGAGAUGGUCUACAAUAAGGCUUUGAGCCGAUUACUGCUACCGUUUUUGCAACCAUGACUUUAACUCAGUUGAUCUUAGGUUUUGGUCGUCUUGGCUUUAGCACAAGAUAGAGAAUACCCAAAACAAUCAAGAAAGCAGGUAUUGUUGUUGCGUCAAACUCUACUUGCACUUUCCUGUCUUUCGUGCAAUGAAUCGGAUGAAGAAGGGCUAUGGUUGCAUUCACUUGAUCAACAAACCUGCAUUUAAAAUUAGAUUUAAGAAAUCAAAGGAUAUUACCUACAAAAUUGGACCAUCCUCCAAUGAAAUAUCAAAAAGAAUUUAAAUCGCAUUCACCUGUCAUUUUCAAUACAACAGAAAUAUCACACCAUCAAAAACUUAAUUUUAAGAUAUAAGAUAUUACCACAUAGUAGCGCAUUAAGGAACACUGGAAAAUCAUUACCGAACAUAAUAUUAAGUUGCUACCAACUAUGAAUUCAGUCAAUUGAUACAACAGUAAGUCCACACCUUCAUCAACAAAACAACUGCACAAUAUAUUUGCUACUUGAGAUUUAUGUGCUUCACCUCAUUUCUUUCCCAUUAUUUACAUGUUAGAAAAGAUUUCCAUUCAUUUCCUCGGCAGGGGUUUCAUUAACACUGUCUUCUACAAAAACUAGAAGUUUUUCAUAAGAAUUUCACGACACUACUUAUUAAUGUAUUAGAUGCUCAAAGAAAGAAAUUGCAUCAGUUGCUAGAAGCUCUGGCAAGAUUACUGAAUGCAAAACAAUGAUCUGAAUUUAUCUGCAAGACUAUUUUUGAAAUUUAACCAAAUAACAGAAGGGCAUCAAAAUAAAAUGAAAAUUUUAGCAAAAACAGACCCUUUGGUUGCGUCUUCUAAGGUAUGCAGCAGUUUCAUGGCAUCGGUGUAUCUCAAUUCACCAGCAAUAGUUGAAAUCUACAAAAGGAGAAAUGCAUGUUAACCCAUAAACAGUCACCACCAUCAUGACAAUACAAUGUAGCAUUAAUUGAAUUAAUCAAAUAACAACAUCAACGAUGACAAUAAGCAAAUGCACUUACUCUUCUCCAUAAGCUGACAACAUAAUUAUACUUGUUCACUAGCUCACGCUCCUGAGAUUGGAAGUGUUUAAAGGUUUUCUCAGCUGCUAUUGGUUAAGUCUCACUUUGUAGCAACUCCAUUUUUAACAAGUCAGGAAUGAAAACAAUCUAAAAGCAGAUCUUAAUUCAAAAGAUGAACACAAUAAACCACAGGAAGAUUUUUCAGCAUCAGAAGUUGACCAGGAAACCAAUCAAACAGCAGAACAUUUUUUCGCGGGAGCAGUCAUGGCUUUAAUCCCACAGCCAUGGUUAUACCUUAAAUCCCAAGCUUUCUUUUGAAGACUCAAAAAUGAAACAUUAACAAUAAAUAUUAUUUUCAUAGAAAAUGUUAAACUACUAAAAGAGAUAUAUCAAAUAUCUCAAUAAAAAAUUUGGACAAAUCCCCACGAUACUAUCCUUGUUUCAGAUCUUUUAGCUGUAUGCCUCCUGUGUCUUUAGCUCCUUAUAGUUGACAGGUUAGACAGACACUUAGAUACAUACACGCACCUAUACACAACCAUACUUGAGUUGAAGCAACAUAAAUCCCAAGUCUAUGGGGUUAUGAAAAAGCCACAAGAAAAGGAUACUUGUACGCUCCCAAAGUAGAAGGUGCAUGGCUGAAUUGACCAGUUUUAUCGACUCUUCAAGAGUUGAGAUGAUGUAGCUCCGAGCAAUUGUAUCUGAUUGAAAUUUUGAUAUCUGCCAACCUUGAGAAGUAAUGGAGAAAGGAUUGCAUCCCACGGACCAUAUCCAAUCCUGUAAAAUAUAAGCAACAAAAUAUGCAUAAAUUAUUUAGGGCGACCUGUCUCAGCCAACAUGCUAUAUCCACCUCAUUGUAAAUGUCAGCCUUUUGUAAGUACAUGGGACUCACAUGUUGAGUCAACAUGACAUAAUAUGCAUUGAACAAUCAAAGUUUAUGCAGAAAUAGUGCAUCCCAGAUAUUUAUCAAGUAUUGAAAUCCACAUAUCUAGAACAGAAUGCAAUGUUAGUUUUCCUUUCAGGUGGGUUCACUAGGUUCUCAAUGUAUUGUCAUGUAAGGAGAGCGACACUUAGGAUACCCCAUUGGAGCUACUAUUGCAGGAUCUUACUUAUAGUGGGAUUUCAUUUAACUGAACCUGUAGCUCACAUGUUAUUAAAUGAUAGGAGAAAUUGCUACACUUUCUUUUCUUUUAUAAAAAGUUACCAGAUGUUGAUACAAAUUCAUGUGAACCUAUAUCAGAUUGUAAACUGAAGAGUGAAGGCAGAUACACUACUUAUUUCUGAAAGUUAUCAAAUACCAGACUUCAUCUUAGUCAAAAGCCAUGUUCAUACAUCCUGUAUCUGAUCUGUUGUUUCUGAGGCAUGUUUCAGACGGAUUGAAACAGAACAUGUCACUAAUAGCAGACAAACAAAAAUAGGGCCAUUAAUAUGCAUAAAUAUCCUGCAUCCAUGCAUGCAUAUACACAUUUGUGGUCUGUGAGUUUUAGAGUAGAGGAACUAAAAUAAAAUAAAAUUUAUAAGGAUGAAAAUAAAAAGAAAAUGACAAACAAGCAUAACCACACCAGGCCCAUGCAUAAUGGGAAAAAGGAACAGUCAGAUCAUUAUUCACUUUGUUUAAAUUGUGAACAUUUAAAAGGACUGACUGUUAAGAUUGACUGCAAGCAUCAGGAUUACGUAAUCAUAAGUAAGAUUUCAGUUGUAUAUCUAAACUAUCAAACCUCAAUUGCAGUUCCAUGAGCAUGACUGUAGACAAGCUGAAGGGGAAGCAAACCAGCCAGAUGUUCAGAAACAGCAGCCAAAGCAGGCUUGAUGGGUCUCCUGAAUCCAGGUGAAAGAACAAAAUCAGUAGAACACAAAAGGAAUGCAUUCUGAUUGGAUGAUGAAACCCCUCCUUUUAUUGGUUGGAAGAGAAAGGAAUGCCAGAAUCACAAACCUCAAAUCCCACAAAAGGGAUUUUCCAUUACACUGCAGAUGGCUUUCCCAGGAUGACGACUCUGAUUGGACAACAAUAACCAUAUCAGAAAGCGCUUUGGCCUGAUAAUGUUUGUCCACUAAUAAUGGAUCGGUACGAAUGAACCAGAAGAUUGGAACUUCAAGAGUGGACCGGCUAUGAGCAUGUGAUCCUGAAUGAAGAAUUAAGGGCAAUGUUAAAUCCAAAUGAGAAAUGAAACCAACAAUAGUUUAGUUAGGCUCCUACAAGCGACAAAAAUGAUACACAAGGCAUCAUGAUUUUACAUAAUGUACACCAUCAAUUCCAUAUACUGUUCACAUUAAAUUGGCACACAAAUUUAGGAACAAAAAGUCUAUGUUUUAAUAGUAUUGAUGUUCAAUGGGUUUAAAUUCCAAAAACAUAAAAAUAAUUGCUGAAAUUUAUUUUCAAAUUAGAGAACUGAAGAAUUUUAAAAUGUUCAAAAAAGGAAUAGUGACAGUUGUAAGAUGUUGCAAAAUAGAAUGUUGAAGAGUUAAUUAGGAAUAAGGGAGUUAUAGAAUUCAUGCUUGUGAAAUAAAGGAACAAAUAUUUUAAGAACCAGUGACUGAUAAUAAAACAGAGAAACUGAUACCAGAGUUUUGAGAAUACCUAGAAUGACGACCAUUGGAAGAAAAUGAAAAAACAAAAACUAUUUCAACCUUGUUUUUUUUUUCCUUUCAUAGAAAAGCCAAUUAGUCAGACAGAGAGAAGCUAAAUUCAGAUUCAAAUACAAAUGAAACAUAUCAAUGUUAUCAAGAUAAAGAGUUCUUAAUUUUGCUAUAGGUAGUCAUAAAAAUGACAGCUCCAAAAAAAGGAUUUCGUUUUCCAGCAAGCAUUAUGAACACGGAUCUGACCUUUGAGAGAUCCAUGAGUAUUCAGCCUCCGCAACUGAUACUGGAGAAUUGAAGAAUCAAUAUAGGAACGGGUACUUUUCCUGUAUGUUCCAUUAACAAGCAAAUAUGGGACAGCUGCUGCUCGUCGCGCCACAGAAAAUGCCAUUGCCAAAGCAGGAUCCUCUGAAAGUGCUAACCUAUAAUUUGCAAAACAAAUUAGUACAGCCAGGAACCAAAUUUACAAGCCAAAAAACUAUUGCGAAAGAAAGUUAAAAAAGAAAACAACAAAAAGUCUUCAAUAACAUUGGAAUAGAAAUAAAUGAUGCAUGGAAUUUCCACAGAAGCAUCUCAUGCAGACCUAAAGAUAUAGAAGAAUAUGGGCAGCAUCACCACGUGGGUUCAGUGAAAUAACUGGGGCUGAGGAUUUGGUAGACUCUCUCAUGGAUGAGGAUUUGGGAUCCCAAAACUUAAGCUAUAGUCACUCUCAUGCAGAAUGCAGGGAAGCUAAUCGAGAGAUCAAACUAUCUCAGAUUUUACUUUGUUCAUUUGUUGUAUCUAUAAGGCUUAAGUCUGAGAAUUAUGUUUCUUCAAGUUAGCACUGAAGGUUAUUUGGUGUAUGUUUAUUGAGUUUGAGCAUCAAGGGAAUUUUUGCCGUUUACAAUUUGCUAGAAUGUCAGAUAGUCUGAUUUGUAGUUUUGAGUUUUCUUUAUCAAAAUAAUGUAAAACCCUUAUAAGACUAGGAAAAGAAUAUUAUUGUAAAUGAAUAAAUUAUUCAUUUAUUUAUAAAUUAUAAAUUAAUAUUUAUUAGUUUAUAAAGAACCUUAUGUUUUCAAUCCAUAUUCAAGUACUUAUUAUUUUGUUUUAAUAAGAUAAUGAAUGACUUAUAAAUGACAAACACCAAAUACAAUUUAAAUCACCCAUAAGUGAUGAAGUUAUUCAAGGAUCAUGAAUAUGUCUACUCAUAACCAAAAUCCAGAUGGCAAUUAUAAUCAGUAAUUGCAAUCCAAAAAGUUCUUGCUUAUCUUAUCAUCAUCACAAAACUCCUCAUUAAUCCCCAUUUCCGAGAAUACAGAGUUACUCUUAAUGUAAUUUAAACUUACUUCCAUUCAUAUCUUCCAUUUCCUACAAAGUUAAAAGAAACAACGGAUCGUGUAUAACAAAAAGACAACCAUGUGUCUAUCUUUCUAGGACGGGAAAAAAACAAAAGGAAAAAUAAAACAAAGAAUAGUUCAGAAUGCGUACACAUGCUGACUGAACAUAACUUUCUGUGAAGGUAUCAACAAAGAGGAAAGCCCAUCCUGGAGUGCCCUUAGGUCCACUGGCAAUCUUUUAAAAUGUCUAACUUUCUGUCUCCAUGAAAAUAAAAGAAAAUUUAGUAUUUUAACGAAUGAUCCUUGAAAACUUUUUCCAUGCAUCAUACCUCCUUUGUAAUGAAAAACAACUGAUACGAUAUCUUCUCAUAAUAAUGGAAAGCACCAUCAGCAACUGAAGGAGAUAUGAUGUGUCUCACAGAUCCCCACAGGGUUGCACCAAGUUGUGCAAGGAAAGUAUCCCGAGCAACCGUGUAGUUUUGGAAUUUCUGCACAGAAACAACUCAAUUCCAAAGAACUGCAAUUGUCGGAUUUCAAGACAACCAUAUUUUGAAUAGCAGUGUGGUUACUAAAGAUGAUCCCUACAAGUACUAAAGAAAAUGUUAUACUGGCAUUUCUUCAAGGAAAUAAACAUACCUCAUGAGUAUCACUAAACAAAUUCCAGCUCUCCAUCCGUUUUAAAGCAUCUACAGCCUUCAUACGGUGGCUUUCAUCAUACUCUUCAUUUUCAAAUGACUGAAGCUCAUCUUUCAAAUCCCGCAUUCUCUCAUCAAGCUCUGAAAUCAUAAAAAUUGUAAGUGGAGAAACUUACCCCAUAUUUUUCAUUAGAAACUUGCAGAAUAUAAAAUUGCAUAGCACUUCAACUCGUACAAAAAGACAAUAUUAAGACUAAAAGGAUAUUGAUUUUCUAUAAAACAAUUAUCUUUUAUGUUCACGGCCUGACAAAUAAACAGGCAAACCAAUAAAUAAAUUAAAUAUGUGAUAAACAUUUAGGCAGUUAAAAUCUCAAAGAACAAUGUUACCCUUCAAACUAUAUUUUGUUCCUUUGUAACAAAAAAAUAAGUGACUCAAAAGCAAAGUUCAUUGCAAAAGCAUGAGACACCAAUAAAUCUUAAAUUAAACAAACUCGAUAAGAAUGGUUUGCUUUAACACUAACCAACUACCAUAAUAACCUAUGUUGUUUUGACUCUUCAUGUUCCUUAAAGCGACUCUGCUGGAUGCAUAUUAAAGACCCCAAACUGGAAGCUAAAAGAAGGUAUAAUCCUCCAAUAUAAGGGAUGCAUAUGAUAAUGUCCACAAUCCAAGCAAAAUACUUCAUGAAUCCCCUGGAAGCUUUCCCCAAAAGUGGAACCACAAAAUGAAAAUUAGAAAUGAGAUAAAUAACAUGAGCCGUACCAUCACAAAGAGCAAGCUUGACCUUCCUUCCUUUGCAAUGCUUGAAAGCAAAAAGCUCAUAGAUAUCAAUCUCCGCCAGAAGAAUAUCAAUUGCCUGAUGAUCUUUCUACAAUAUUAAAUGCAUAGUCAAUUAAGGCAGGAAACUGCAUAAACCUAAUAGAAAGAGAAGCUUCAAAUGCAAGGUAUCAUUGCUUCAAUUGCCAUGUAUAGCUAACAUACAUCACCAAAUACAGCAAACUUUUCCUGAAUUGCAUCUUGCAAGCGAUCUUCAGCUUCAUCUUCGGAAAUUUCUACUUGCCACAAUGAGAACAGAAGUUCAGAUAAGGGGUAAGGGCACAACAAUAACAACAAUAAUAAUAAUGACAGAGCACUAUGUGAUGAAAAGCACAAUAUUGUAAAAUCUAGUGACAUUUGACACAUGAGAUUUAAAAUAUUUUACAGAUCCCAAUUAAUUAAGCCAGUUCUCACAAAGAUAUCAAGCAUAAUAAGGGAAAAACAUUCCACUAAACUUCGGUAGCCAUAAUAAACUAAUAUAUCAAUGUUGACAAGUGAAAACCCAAUACUAAAAUCACCAUACUAACAAAAAAAUAGCAAACACAGAUGUCAAAGAAAUUACUGACAGAUAACAAGCAAGCACAUUAAUAUCACCU